This 82495-nucleotide long non-coding RNA is filed under the name Setaria italica (foxtail millet). Its description in RNAcentral is "long non-coding RNA (SITA_LNC005610)". The stretch from base 33267 to 33340 matches the Rfam family "tRNA". Lineage: Eukaryota; Viridiplantae; Streptophyta; Magnoliopsida; Poales; Poaceae. The record is from RNAcentral.
UUUUUUUUUUUGUGACCAUGGUUACCCCAAUUUCCCUAGCGAAACAGACAUACAAUCAUCUGUUUUACAUGCGAGUACAAGCUGCAAUGGAACUUCCUGAACCAAUACCAUCAGCUUCAAUGCUUCGAAACACUACUUGCUAAACACUUUGCUAGCAUCACCGUUCAGUAUUCACUACUGGUGCUUGCGUGCUUCUAGGCAACACGGAUCCUGAACGAUGGCAUGAGGAGCUUGCAUGCUCGGCUCCGGCGAGGUGAUGAAGCCCGGUGCAGCGUAGAAAGACCGCGGCGGCGGUUGCCGUGGCAUGUGCCAGCUGACCAGCUCGAUGUCGUUGCUUCCAGUACUGCUGUCGCCGUCGUCGAGCUCGUCAGCCGGCGGAGCUCCUCUGACCUCUGCUCGGCACGGUUCGGCUGUCUGGAGGAAGAAGAAAGACGGUCAGAGAGAGAGAGGGAGAUGAGGCCGGGGAGUUGGUGGCUGCGCGCUGGAGAGCCGAGGCGAGGAGGGACGAGCGCGACCGGCAGACGCGUGGCGGAGCAGAGACGGCACGGGUGAGGAGGGCCGAGCGCGAGCGUCUGGUCUGGCGCGUGGCGUCGCCAGUGCCGACGGGACGCCGACGGCAUGGGUCGCGGCGGGCAGUUGGCGCCGGAGUUGGUGCAUUGCGUCGCGUUUGCGCGUGACGACGUAAUGUGGGGGCUGGACGUGGGCGCCGGCGCGUGUCGGCGUCGGAGCUCGCCGGCGGGCUGAAUGGCUGAUGACAGCCGCGCGUUGUGCAUCGCUAGGCGAGCAGGUCACGGCGGCACGCACUGCAGGGCUCAGUCCGUGCACAAAAAUCCGGCCCCAAACUUGCUAAGGUAGGUUCUGGAUGCGGAUCGGAAUCGAGGAGGCCGGAUCGGAAUCGGACACCGCGCGCGUGCGAUCCAAGCAGCAGCAGCAGAUCGGAGUCCGACUCCCGGUGAUUUGCCGCCACCACCGCCUACAUAACCAAUCGAUCCAUCCAUCAAUCAACUCGUCGUCUCUGUCUUGGCCAUUGUUCCUCUUGGGUGCCGUCUCCCUUCCGAUCCCUGCCAUGGAAGAAGAUAUAGUGUGGGAGAUUGGGGAGAUCGAAGCCCAAGGAGGAGGAGAGUCGCCGCCGUUGUUUGACCAAGCCACGCCGCCGCCGCUUUACCCGCCGGCGUCGGUCUCGUCACUCACCCGAGGCGAUGCCGCCGCCGCUUCCAUCAGCAACAAGCGCGGCCGCGUCGCCGCCUCCAGCAAGGCCAUCCAAGGCCUGCGGGAGGUGACGGCGCCGCCGACGGACGGGUCCGACGACGACUGCUGCGCCAUCUGCCUUCAGGAUCUCGAUUACUCCGACAAGGCCCAUCCAGUUCCGGUGAGGGCCAUGCCUUGCUCGCACACCUUUCACGAGCACUGCAUCUUCGAGUGGCUCCGCCGGAACGCCGUCUGCCCUCUCUGCCGCCACCAGCUGCCCACGGAGGACGACCACGAGCAGGAGCAGGAACAGGGGAGGAGGAGGAGGAGGAGGAGGAUCAGGAAUUUCAGGAUCCGGUUCGUCUACAUCGAUGAGGACGGCCAGCCGCGCUAUGGCUCCAGCGACGACGAGGAGGAGGAGGAGGAGGAGGUGGACCCGGAGCAGUUCGAGGCGGCCUUGAGAGAAUUUUACGCUGGACUGGAUCAGACGAUCAGACCACAAAGCUAGCUUGCACUGGGACUGGAAGAUGAUCGAUUCGGCAUGCCAGAGCCUCCUCCUCCAUCUCAAUCCACUGCCUUCAACUUCAGCUUGAGCUUGCUGUUGAGUUUCUAUGUAAUCUUACUUAAGAGAUGCCAGAUCAACUGGAUCUUGUGUUCUAUUUGAAUUCAUCCUAUGAGAUUCAUAUAUCUCAUUCUCAGACUCAUCAUGCAUGUUUCCAAAUUCAGUCUCUAGAAUUUACAACUGCCUCCAGGUGUUGCAGCAUAUCACUGUGCUUGUCAAUGUCAAUGGUCUCCUGCAUUGUGAGUAAUCCUGGAGGUUCAAAUUUCAAAACAGGGCUAUGAGCUGAAGAAUUAAAAGACAUGAACCAUGCAUGCAAAUAGAGAGGGUAAAAUAAUCUCAUAACAAUUGGGGGAGCAAUUUCCAAGCAGCUCUUUGUGGCACUGAGAAACCACCAUGCCUACUUGUAUCAUCUGCAGUUUUUUCUUUUUUUGGCAGAAAUGUGUAGUGUGAUAUUUGCGUUGGUACAAGCACCAGGAGUUGGAAUUGGGAUGGCGCCAAUUUCCUGAAUUGGUGAGCAUGCACAAAGGCUCAUCAACUUCUGAUUUUGUUUUUGGGUAAUUCCAUUUGUUACAGUUAUUGGUGCAUCCUAAAGCAGUGCAUAUUACUAUACUGCUUUUGUUGGUACCUAUCAGAGAUAAAUUUUGAUCUGCCCUUGUUUGAAAAAUCCUUAAGAUAGCGUAUUUGGAAGCCAAACUCUGAAACUCAUAUGUAAUGCAGCAAUGCGACAUUGUACUUGCAAAGUGUAAUGGUUGCAAUGCCUUUACUAUUGCUGCGAUUCUCAACAUGACUUCUGCUAUCACAUUCAGAUAAUUUUAGGCAUGCACAAAAGGGACAAAACUCUGGAUAUAAUUGUAAGCAUAUAAACUCCAGUCAUAUCUUAAUCUGAGAACCAUUCAGGAACACCUUCACCUAGGAAAUUUAGCUUUUCAGUUUUGCACAAGACUUGAGUUAUUGGUAUGAAUGACGGAAAAAAUGCAGGCAUGGAAUUUACCGAGUACCUGUCAGUUGCUUUGUAAAGUACAAUACAAUUGGCAUUAGUUAUCACAGAUUUGUUGACAUACCAAUACUGAAAACAUGUGAACUUUGCAACAAAUACUGAAAAUACCUGUUUCUACCACUGUUCUACUGUUGGCCGCGCCCCGGUUGAUCGUGGCCGUCGGCCCUGCCGCGUGCGCGCCAUCAGACUUCCUUAAAAACAUAUACUAGAUGGAUAUGGAUGCUUGUUACGAUAAAUGUCGAACUGGCAGUUUGCUGCUUUAUAGCAAAACGGAGUCCUAGGUCUUGGUACUACUUACAUGGCAUUUUACUCGCCACUGGUAUCCUUGCUCUUCUAGCUUUAACUGUGGUUUUGCACAAAAUAGAUCAUGCCUGCGGCCUGCCUUGCCUAUGCUUCCUGUGACAGCAUCGCCUAAUGCUCGCCAGCUUGCCAUGACAAGUGUAGCCAGCCUAUGUCGUUAUGCCCAAGUACAGGUAAGCAUGUUGUUCCAAAUGUCGUUUACAUGGUCUCAAUGGAUUGUUUAGUUUUGCUUUAGUCGACUCCUGUAGCUUCAACACUUAUAUGCAGGGCUACUCCCACCGUGCCUUUUUGUUUACUUAAAAUGAUCUUCUUUUCAGUUCUCUACAUUUUUAAAAUCAUAGAGAAUGCUGCCUAAUUCUAUAUAAUCUUCAUUCGAUUGUAUUAUUCUUUCAUGCAGUUAUGCAGAUUACAUUGCAAUAUAUGCUCAACUGACCUGGAGCCCUCAUCAAGAAUGCACGAUUAACUAUGAAAUGGUGCCUACUUACAGCUGCAUGACACAGAUUACUGUCCUCGGCUCGAGGUAUGAAGUGGUCCGUCCAAUUUGAUAGUGCUACUAAUUAGUAUAUGUAAUGUUCACACAUCUGUGUGUGUUGUUCAUCUGCUCAGGCAAUUUACAUGCUUACUUCGGUACUAACUUCAUGUUUAGCCCUUCAUCUAGGCUGAGAGGUCCUCUUUUUCUCUCGUUAAAAGCUGCUACUUUCAUACGUGCAGAUUCAAGUCCCUUAGAAUGUGACAUACACUGUGAAUCAUAUUGCUGAUUGAGGUUAGUUACCGACUUUCCUCUGUUUUAUGUUCAUCGUCAGGUGAUUUUUGUGGACUUGAAUUGUGAGUCAUCACUCCUAUAUGAAAUUGGUAUGUCAAGAUAUGUAUGGACACUCACAAAAAAGACAUUUCAUCUUGAAUGAACAUGUCUCAAAUUUCUGGUUAGCAGAAGAACAAAAGAAAACUGCACAACAAUACGUGGCUUUUAAAUAUUAAUGAAAGAUUCAGGUUCAUGUGCAUUAACUAAUAUUUCAAUAAAUGCUUCAUCUAAUCCUAAUUGCCAAUGUGCUUGCUCUGGCCCUUACCUCGGAACCCCUCUGCUUACAUCUUGCAUGCCAUGUGUACCAAACUGUAUUGCAUUAACUAGAACCUCUCCGAUGCUGCAGUCUGGCGUCCUGGUAGCUGUGAGGGAGGAUAAGAAUCUGCCGCACCACAAAUGAGAUGCAAAAAUAGAGGCAAGGCUUCAAGAUGGUUGUUUAUUCUCAGUUUUUUGGGUAUUUUGUUUAUGUCUUAGUUUGCAUGGAAAAUAGAGCAUUAAUAUGAAAGCACAGGCAUAGUUUUUUGUCUAAUAUUUAAUUCCUUUACAUUAUUUUGAAUGUAACAAUUGAAUCUGAUUUCUCUAUUCACCAACAGGUAUGAAGUUCACAUUGAACUCAACAUGUAGAUUGACUACAAAAACUGACUGCCACCAGCUUGGUGGUGUUUCAAUGCAGCAAUUACUGUUGUCUUGGACCAAGCACCAAUGGGGUGAUAGAAAGAUCAAGGUUAAUAUCCUGCUCAUACAUUGAUCGAUCUAACAGUUUAGUGUCAAUUACUUCAUCAUUCCUAAUAGCAAAUCCAAAUUUAAUGAACCCUGAUGUCCUCUGUAAAAAGUUCUGAAUUAGUACUAGCCUAAAACAUAUUUGUGAUUUCAAGUUAACUCUACUUAAUUCCAUAGUCUACUCUAAGGAUGUGUGUUUUUUCAGAUUGCUCUUGGUUCUUGUAUUUUUUAUAUGAUAAGUAAUAUUUCUGUCCUGGCCCUUCCUUUAUUUUAGCGCCUUGUGUAUGGUUUGCCCCACAUGACACUGUUGGACUAAGUUCAUUUUUCUCCCUUCUUGUGACUGUCUUAUGAUAGUUUGGUUAAUGGUAUUACACUGUUCAUGGCCUAAUUGGCCUGGUGGUUCUUCACCUGAUUAUUGUUCUACUGAAACCACGCCAGCCCUGCCUGAUUCAAUGAACUGUCCAUACAUAACUGCAUUUCAUUCUAUGCAGAGCUAUUUGUGAACCUUUGCAAGUUCAGCUUGAUGCUAUAUUGGUAACUGUUUACUGUCCAUUUCUCUUAUGCAGCAGGGGUCAAUGGAAUUCAGUUGGCAGCUGUGACAAGGAAACUGAACCGAUAGCGAAUGAACAGGAACCUGCACCAUACACCUUGGUGUACCUGAAUACAACAAAGAUGUCUGACUACAGGAAGGAGGUACACCCUUCAGUCUAUCGCAAACAGAAGUUGACUGAGGAGGAGAGGACAUCGCCUGACAAGAAUGAAUGAAGUCGUUACCCUACACAACAUGCUGGAAUUUUGAUUAAAUCCAACUUUUGAUUCAGAGAUUCAGUGUUUCAGCAACAUCGGCAGUCAGGUCAAAAUAGGAAAGUAGGCAACGAGCUGUCAAGCUCGGCAAAAACUGAACUCACCCACCGUCCCUGGAAACUAAAUCUGGCCAUUGGUUGGUGGAACUACAACAAUUUCACAAGCCUUGGCGGCCCUGUGGCAAGUGCGGAAUUUUCUAAUUGCAUCCUGCCACCGUAGCGGCGUCGUGGGGUGCGGCUGCACCGAGCUGAUGUCAUCCUGUGGAUGCAGAGGCGUCGUGGGUUGGUGCGGCUCCACCGUCAGUGAAGCGAGGAAGCGGUUGACAGCAAGAACCGCCAACACAAAGGUUAUCUCGACACUCCCUCCUCUGAAUUGCUGCAUCUUGAGGUGCUCCAGGGUGUGCGCUAGGCAGCGGGCUGAGUCGAUGGCGGGGCACUCGUCGUUGCCAGUGGCCUUGUCGACACGCUGCACAUAACACAUUACAAAUUGAUUGAUGGAUCAAUUCCGAUGGAUCAAGCAGAGAUACAUGACAGAUGGAAAGCGAGCAUACCCGGAGAGUAAGGUCCUUCAGGUUCGGCAUCCAGCGAAGCAGUGAUAAGAGAUCUAAUGCAUGGUGUGCCGUGGCCAACUCAACAGCCACACCAAGGGUACGAACGAACGGUAGUAUCAGUACCUGCUGACGGCUGACCUGCAGAACAUCAAGUAGAAUGCUAAAACUUUUUUUGGAAGAACUAAAAAGGUGGAUGUAUCAAACAGAGGCAGGCAAUUAGAGACAUACCCUCAUCAUGUACUCGGAUCUGAUUACAAUGUUCUGUUGGUGCAUAUCAACCUGAUCGACAGUGUUCAAGAUGCUGCAGAACAUAAUGUUGAUCUGUACCAGGGGAGGAGGACGAGCCGCCGCCGCCUUGGGGGCAGGUACCACCCCGAGGGUGAGGCGUGUGAGUGCAGGGGCUUGGCCAAUGGUGACCUUGUGGUCGGCCGUGCAGCUGUAAAAUUGCAGCGCCACCAAACUUGGAGACGCAAUGAGGAGACCAUCUUCAUUGCAGGCUUCAGUCAAGGGACACGACCGGAUGGUGAGAGUCUUCAGCCCUUGCAGAUCAUGGACAGUUUGUGAUAGAUCAGACCCGUCGAAGGCGCAAGCUGUGAGUGUGAGGUACUUGAGGCUGGACCAUGCGUGGCCAUCCAGGUAAGCAGCUUCCAUUGCGUGGCGAAGGCAAGCCCUGAUGUUAACGAAACCAAUUGCCAGGAAAGUGAGACGCCGGCUGCGGAGGUGCUGAAGAGGCGCCUCCAUGUCCUCCGGCCUUGUCAGGUUAAGCAAGAUGACUUCCUGCACCUCCCUUGCCGUCAGGAUGUCGAUCCAUCGCCGAAGACGCUCCGGCGCGGGGAACGCCGACGAGUCGACUCGGAGGCACGCGAUGGGUCCCGGGUGAACGUCCAAGAUGCGGUCUAUCUCCCCGGUCACGUCCACGUAGCGCCCACUCAGGCCGGGGCCCCACCUGAUGAUGGAAUCAGCCGCCGCCACAAGCCCGGCGUCAUGAAGCUUCAGCGGGAACUUCAUCCAAGCCUGGAGCCGCUCCUCCUUGAAGGGGCGCUGGUAGAUGAAGAGGUCGAAGUAGGGGUCGAACCGGUCGUCAGGGUAGAUUCCUCGGUAGUGCAGCGCGAGCGCCACGGGGUCCUCCUUGUCGUCGUCGUUCGCCCCAUCCAGCAAGAUGAGGCGAUCCGGCGGAGGGGGAAGAGCGCGGACCGACUUCUUGAUGAGCGCGGGCGUCCGCUCCAGGGCGCCGGGCCUGUCGCCGCCGCCGCCCUUUCCGACCCCGGUCUGGGGUGCCGUAUCCAUCUCCGCCUUGGACUUCUCCGACGCGGAUGGCCUGAUCAGGGCGCUGGAGGUCGAUCGGGAGGGAUGGCGCAGGUAGGGAUCGACCGGGUUUGGGAGGGAUUGGGGGAGGAUUAGGGAUUGGGGAUUGCAGAUGCGUCGACCGUUAAGAGGGAGGGGCCUCGAGGGAGGGGGUUUUUAUUUGGAUUCUGUCCUCCAAGGCUCCAACCGUUUUCGUUUCCUUAGCUUCAGAGAAGCAGAGGAGGUCUGCAAUUGCCAAAUGAUUUUUUUUUUACAAAGUUAUAAGAUGCUUGGCAGUUACAAAACGCAAUCACGGCUAAACUAAAUUGUUUCUUCUGCUGAUCUUGACCCAACCAUUCACGGGUGCUGCUUCUGCUGGCUGAAAGGUAACCCCCUGACUGAAUGUCUGAAACUUAACCAUGGUCUGAUGAUGGUUGCAGGCACAUCAUGUCUUGUGCUGCGUGAGGCUGGACAAGAUCGACUUCGCGCCCAUGAUGGCCAGAUACCGAUGCUGAUGACGGCAGGCUGGAAAAGCAAAAGAGAGUGUCCUUCCUAAUUGUUCUUGAGAUGCUGUUGCAAAUUCAGUUUGGGGAUGAUCCACUUCUUUGCCAGAUGUUUCAGGCGUCAAUCACUGUGCAAUUGGGGGAUGGUAACUUGGCGCUGUUCUGGAAAGAUAGAUGGAAUGGAGAUGCAUCCCCAUCUGACAUUGCACCGGAUCUAUGCAGACUGGUAAGGCCAAAGAUUGCAAAAACAAGAACGGUUGCUGAAGCUCUGUUGGGAAGACGCUGGAUAGCCGAUAUUGUCGGACGGCCAACAGUCAACGCCUUGCUGCAGUACAUCCAUUUGUGGCACAUAGCUGAUAACGUCCUUCUUCAGCCGGGAACCGAAGACAUUGUUUCAUGGAAAUGGGAUCCGUCAGGCACAUACACGACAAAAUCGGCUUACAAAUUCUUAUUCCAAGGAGCUACAACUUUCCCUGCAGCCAAUGCAAUCUGGAGGACUUGGGCACCAUUGAAAGUCAAGUUCUUCAUAUGGUUAGCAAUUAGAGACAGGUUGUGGACUGCUGAAAGGAGACACUGACAGGGCCUGCAAGAUAAUACCGAUUGUGCUCUAUGUGAUCAGGGAAUUGAGACUGCUGACCACCUCUUCGCGACAUGUUGCUAUACCCAGGAGAUCUGGUAUGCAGUCAGCAGGAAACUGAACAUCCAAGUUCCAAGUCCUGGCCUGACAGUAAUUGACUGGUGGCUGCAAAUGAGAUUGGGGAUGACCAAGCACAAGAAGAAAGUUCUUGACUCCUCAUUCAUGUUGACCUCCUGGACUAUUUGGAAAGAAAGGAACGACAGAGUCUUUAGCAGGUCGCCAGCCCAAUCUGCUGCUCAUCGGACCACGGUGAUCCUUCAUCAGGCUCAGCUAUGGAUGGAAGCCGGCGGUAAACACAUGACAGUUUUGGGAUGGCCGGCUGCAACUGUAGGGGUUAGAGCCCAGUAGUCCAUCAGCCUAGUCAGUUUGUACCUUGAGUUGUUGUCAUUCCUUUUGUAAUACGGCUCCUCACUCUCAACCGUAUGUGUGUGCCCGGAUGACCCGUGUUGUAAGAACUUUGUUCUAAUUCUUAAAGAUAUGCAGCUCUUCUGCGUAUUCUCGAAAAACAAAGAUGCUGUUGCAUACAUCAGCAAAUAAUUAGUUGUUGGAACUAUCUCAAGUUUGUGUAGUAAGCUUGACUGCGCACAGAUUUGUUUGAAUACUUGUUGAUCAUUGCCCCAAAAGAGGAGGGAAAAAUAGAUAAUUGCUGCUAUCUGCAGCCUGAAAAUGCUUGCUAAUGGAUCAGUCACAACUCACAUCACCACAUGUUUUCCCUGCGAGAAGAACAAAAAUGUGCAACAUAUCAUGCAGGAGAGGAGGAAUACAAAGUAGGUGCAGCGAGGAUAGUUUCUGAAAAGAGUUCUUCACAGCAUUUGGUGCUUUAAGAUGAUGUCUUUGCGUGUUUAGACGACUGCCCACUUGCUGUUUCUGUUUUUUUUUCUUGGGAGGUUUACGGCAGGCAGAUCGCAAUUUUUUUUAGAGAUGAUGUUCCUAGUAAGUAGUAAUUCCUUUUUCUUAAAGCCAAAUAGUACCUGAGAAUUAUAUGAAUCUCAGAAGUUGAAUAAGAAUACUACUCCAGCUGAGAAUGACUGGCAUCUAUACAUAUGUAUCUUUACAUUGCAUUAAAGAUCAGAAAAUGGAGAAGAUAGGCAAGCGGAUUGACCGAAAUAAAACAAAAUGCUGCCUACAAACUGCAACUCCUGGUGCUUGUACCAACGCAAAUAUCACACUACACAUUUCUGCCAAAAAAAGAAAAAACUGCAGAUGAUACAAGUAGGCAUGGUGGUUUCUCAGUGCCACAAAGAGCUGCUUGGAAAUUGCUCCCCCAAUUGUUACGAGAUUAUUUUACCCUCUCUAUUUGCAUGCAUGGUUCAUCUCUUUUUAAUUCUUCAGCUCAUAGCCCUGUUUUGAAAUUUGAACCUCCAGGAUUACUCACAAUGCAGGAGACCAUUGACAUUGACCAGCACAGUGAUAUGCUGCAACACCUGGAGGCAGUUGUAAAUUCUAGAGACUGAAUUUGGAAACAUGCAUGAUGAGUCUGAGAAUGAGAUAUAUGAAUCUCAUAGGAUGAAUUCAAAUAAAACACAAGAUCCAGUUGAUCUGGCAUCUCUUAAGUAAGAUUACAUAGAAACUCAACAGCAAGCUCCAGCUGAAGUUGAAGGCAGUGGAUUGAGAUGGAGGAGGAGGCUCUGGCAUGCCGAAUCGAUCAUCUUCCAGUCCCAGUGCAAGCUAGCUUUGUGGUCUGAUCGUCUGAUCCAGUCCAGCGUAAAAUUCUCUCAAGGCCACCUCGAACUGCUCCGGGUCCACCUCCUCCUCCUCCUCCUCCUCGUCGUCGCUGGAGCCAUAGCGCGGCCUGCCGUCCUCAUCGAUGUAGAGGAACGGGAUCCUGAAAUUCCUGAUCCUCCUCCUCCUCCUCCUCCCCUGUUCCUGCUCCUGCUCGUGGUCGUCCUCCGUAGACAGCUGGUGGCGGCAGAGAGGGCAGACGGCGUUCCGGCGGAGCCACUCGAAGAUGCAGUGCUCGUGAAAGGUGUGCGAGCAAGGCAUGGCCCUCACCGGAACUGGAUGGGCCUUGUCGGAGUAAUCGAGAUCCUGAAGGCAGAUGGCGCAGCAGUCGUCGUCGGACCCGUCCGUCGGCGGCGCCGUCACCUCCCGCAGGCCUUGGAUGGCCUUGCUGGAGGCGGCGACGCGGCCGCGCUUGUUGCUGAUGGAAGCGGCGGCGGCAUCGCCUCGGGUGAGUGACGAGACCGACGCCGGCGGGUAAAGCGGCGGCGGCGUGGCUUGGUCAAACAACGGCGGCGACUCUCCUCCUCCUUGGGCUUCGAUCUCCCCAAUCUCCCACACUAUAUCUUCUUCCAUGGCAGGGAUCGGAAGGGAGACGGCACCCAAGAGGAACAAUGGCCAAGACAGAGACGACGAGUUGAUUGAUGGAUGGAUCGAUUGGUUAUGUAGGCGGUGGUGGCGGCAAAUCACCGGGAGUCGGACUCCGAUCUGCUGCUGCUGCUUGGAUCGCACGCGCGCGGUGUCCGAUUCCGAUCCGGCCUCCUCGAUUCCGAUCCGCAUCCAGAACCUACCUUCUCGUCGGGCAAUUGCAGGUUCAGACUUCAGAGGUGUCAUCAGCCACUGAACAGGUAGGUCUUGUUUUUGAUCUGCAAGCUGCAGCUUCCUGAAACAACUGUAAUUGUAGCUUCCCUUGUUGGCGCAAUGGAUCUCAUCUACUGCAAAUUUGCAAUUUUAUUUGGCCAGUUUCUUUUAACUUUCUAAUUAGCAUGGCUAUGUAUGCCAGUAGUGCCUUUUUCCCUUUUUACGUUUUAACUCCUCCGGGCAGAUGGCAUUCACCUCCCCAUCCGUAGAGCUACAGAUUCUGAAAACUAACACUGAAUGCUUCAAAUUUUGCCAAAGUUCAGAGAUAUUUAUCUGUCAAACUAAUUAUCCUUUGAGCGUACAACUGUUAUAGAACUUGUAGCACUAUGUACCAGCUCCAUCCAAUUUCUAGUAAAGGUUCAUGGUCGGCUAUAGUUUGAAAUUUUAUGAAAUUUAGCAAGUUUGGUGAUCUGAGCAGCUGACUGCGCUGUUGAUCGUCCAAAGACUCUGUCAUUCCGUUCUCGCCAAAUGGUCCAAGAGAUCAACAUGAAAGAGGAGUCGAGGCCCUUUCUUUGUGCCUGUUAAAACCCAGACGCAUCUGCAUCCACCAGUCGACCAGCGACCCUGUUGGAAUAGGAGUUUGGACGUUGAGUAGUCUGCUGACUGCAUACCAAACCUCCUUGGUGUAGCAGCAAUCCAUGAAGAGGUGAUCGGUGGUCUCCACUCCUUGGUCACAAAGUGCACAAUUUGAAUUAUCUUGGAGGCCUCGUUUGUGCCUCCUUGCUACAGUCCACAACCUGUUUUUGAUUGCUAGCCACAUGAAGAACUUGAUUUUCAAUGGUGCCCAAGUCUUCCAGAUCGCAUUGGCUGCAGGAAAAGUCGUGGCUCCGAGGAAUAGGAAUCUAUAAGCUGAUUUGGCCGAGUAAGUGCCUGUUGCUUCCCAUUUCCAGGACACAAUGUCCUCAACCCCCGGCUGAAGGGAGACUGAAUUGACCGAGUGUCAUAACUGAAUAUACUGAAACAAAGCUUCUACUGUUGGAUGUCCGACAACAUCAGACACCCAACAUCUGUCCAUCAGAGCUUCAGCAACCGUUCGCGAUUUGACGAUCCUCGGCCUUACCAAUCUACAGAGAUCAGGUGCGAUGUCGCAUGGGGAAGCAUCUCCAUUCCAUCUAUCUUUCCAGAACAACGCUAGGUUGCCAUCUCCCAGUCGCGCAGUGAUCGACGCCUGGAACAUCUAACGGAGGAGCGGAUCGUCUGCAAACUGAACUUGCAGAUAUUUCCAUGGUCAGUUGGCGUCAGUGCGUUGCAGCCAAAGCCAUCUCAGGCGCAGUGCAUAGGAGGCCAGCUUGAGAUCCUGGAUCCCCAAUCCUCCAAACCUUGUCGGCUGCAAGUCCCUAUCCAUGCCACCAUGCAGUGUCCUCCUUGGCAAGUUCGCUUCCCCGCCCACAAGAAACCCCGGCGGCGUUUGUCUAUUUCAUGAAUAACCUAGUCCGGCAGCUUCAAGGAGAUGAUGGUGUGAAUUGGAAUUGAACUCAUGACACUUUUAACAGUGGUGAGCCUACCUGCCUUGUUCAUAAGAGGAGCUCUCCAGGCCAACAUGCUGCGCGAGAUUUUAUCCACCAGAGGUUGGAAAUGCACCUUUCGCAACCGCCCUAUUGACAGUGGCAAACUGAGAUACUGAAGUGGGAAGUCUGAUAGACGAGCCGGCAAGAUAUUAGUGAUUCUGCCAAUCUGCACUUUAGAGCAUGCAAUCGGAGCAAUGAAGCUUUUAUGCAGAUAUGUGUGUAGGCCGGAGGCAUUGGCAAGGAAAGCAGCAGCUCCCUGAUUGCCACCACAUCUCUCACUUUCGGUGCAAGGAACAACAUGACAUCGUCGGCAUACACUGAACACUGGUGGUGUAUGGCCGGGCUUGCAGGCAGCGACAGAAUGCCUUCAUGGGCUGCCUUGCUAAUAAGAGGGUGCAGCACCUCCAUCAUCAAGAUGAAAAGCAUUGGAGACAAUGGAUCCCCUUGCCUCACCCCUCUUGCAUUGUGAAUUGUCCUCCCAGGUUCCCCAUUCAGAAGGAUUCUAGUGGAAGCAGAUGAGGUUAGGGAAGCAAUCCAAUCUCGCCAUCGUCUGCCAAACCCCAUGGCUUCCAGAACCCGUAGCAUAAAGACCCAGUCCACGGUGUCAAAAGCUUUGGAGAUGUCAAGCUUCAACAGCAGCGACGGUUUUUUCUUUAUGUAGAGCAACUUGGCUGCUCGACGUACUUAAAGUUAUCAUGGAUUGAUCGCCUCUUAAUGAAAGCGCUCUGGUUAACAUCAAUCAGCUUAUCGAGCUCUGGUGCAAGUCUGUUAGCCAGAAGCUUCGCCACCAGCUUAGCAAAGCUAUGAAUUAAGCUUAUGGGGCGAUAGUCACCCGGGCUCUUAGGAUCAGGACCUUUUGGGAUCAAAGUGAUGAGAGACCCAUUUAACCGGUACAAAUAUGCACAAGCAUUUCUGUAGAAUGCAUUGAACCCUGCCAUUAUGCCGUACUUGAUCACCGACCAUGCUGAUCUGUAGAACUCUGCCGUGAACCCGUCAGGUCCUGGCGACUUGUCAUUCGGCAAGGACUUAACUGUGCGCCAGACCUCAUCCUCUGAAAAAAGGUGCUUCCAGGUGCGUGAGGUCGGCCUGCUGAAUUCCUAGAGCUAGGAAGUUGAUAGCCUCAGAACGCUGGUGCGGUGUGCCAAGGAUUUUGGUGAAGUGCUGGAACAGCACCUCCUCUUUUUCCUGCUGUGUCACUGCCACACCUUCAUCUGUGUGAAAUUGAGCUAUGAACUUCUUGUUAGUUCUGUUGCUAGAUUGCAAGUGAAAGAGUUUCGUGUUGGCAUCUCCCUCCUUCAGGAAGAUGAUACGCGAGCGUAGGCGCGCCAUAGUUCUCUCCAAGGAGGAAAGGCCGAGAGCUUUCAGUUUGAGUUCUUUCCGCAGCUGAACCGUGCCUCUUGUGCCUUAUCAAGCCACAACACAAUUGUUCUUGCAAUGAGAAGCUGUGACUUAAUUUGGCCGACGGUACGUUGGCUCCAGCUUUGGAGGUGCCUUGCCGUGUUCUUUAGUUUCGCAUCAAUCCUGUAGAGAGGAUCGGUGAUAGCGUCAUUGCAUACCCAGCCUGCCUGCACGGCAUCUAGAUACCCCGGGAUUUUAAGCCACCAAUUUUCAAAGUGGAAGCGCCGCUUAGCGUGGAAAGAAGCGUUGGUUGAAAUGAGUAGGGGGCAAUGGUCCGAAAUGUCUGAGGAUAGCGCCUGGAGAUAGCAGAACGGGUAGUUUAGCUCCCAGUCCACCGCGACAAGGACCCUGUCCAACCUUUCCGUCGUGGGAGUGCUUCGCUCGUUGCUCCAAGUAUAGCGGCGUCCGUGGAGGAAAAUGUCUUUGAGCUGCAAGUCGACGACGAAGCGCCUGAACCGGCCCAAGUUCCUUUGGUUAAUGUUCACGUUGUUUUUAUCAGAUGCAUGGAGAAGGAGGUUGAAGUCGCCAACAAUGAUCCAGGGGCCGGUUAAGAGAGCAUGUAUGGAGCGCAAUUCAGCGAGGAACUUAAUUUUAUCGGUGUCAGGCUGCGGUCCGUAAACCGUGGUUAGAACCCACUGCUCGUUGGUUGCUUCGACGGCAAUGUUGACAGUCACCGAGAAGCGCCCGGAGUUCAUGACAGUGCAACACACCUCAGGGCCUUUACAUGCCACAAGGAUCCCGCCACUGGCACCCACUGAAGGCAAGUAGGCAAAGCUCGCGAACCGUGUUCCGAGCGUUUCGCUGACAAGAAAUGACGAGAUCGCAGCCAACUUGGUUUCUUGAAUACAAACGAUCGAGGCAUUGGCAUCGGCCACUACCGAUCGGAGAUGGUCUCUACGACUCCGCAUGCCCAAACCACGCACAUUCCACACUAGGAUAUUUAGGUUACACUGAUUCAUGAUGAUGGAGUUGCAACUGAGGGCUGGGAGAUGGCAGCAGCAUCAGGCAGCGAUGGUAGAGGCAGCCUGCUGAGCCGCCGUUCUGAGCUCGUCGUCAGAGAGCAACCUCGCCGCCGGGAAGAUGUCGCGCAGGGCGGCAAAAUGCUGAGGUAACAUGGCCGCCGCAAUGAACCUGUCAAACUCUUUCGCCGCCUGGUGGUGCAGCUCCUCAUCGGGCGCGAUGAUGCCCAGCUUGCGCAUGGCCAACACUUCCCCUUUCUUGGACGGCCGGACGAGCGCGUUCAGCGCCUGGUUCGCGAGGCGGCCGCUGCGGCGCGGGGCGGAGACGGGGUUUGCGGUGUUGGUUGCCGGUGGUCCGAUCUGCGACGUUGCUCCGAUCAAAGGUGCCUGCAGCGCCAAGCGGAUACUGGAAAGAAACUUCGUCGUCUUCGCCCGGGCGGCGGCAGAGCAGGAACCUGGAGAAGGCUGCGGCGGUUGGCACGGUGUCUGAGCGUGUUCAUUCGUUGCCGCACGUUCCUGGCGCACCGGUGCCCCAGCGUGGCACCUGGCACCAGUUCCUGCGUCCUUGGGCCUGCGAAGGCUGAGCGUGUCCCGCCGCCGUUUCUUCAUCAAAAUCCAGCCGGACGGGGGAGACCACUUGGUCCUGCUGAAGCUCGCCAUCGGAACAAGUUUGCCCCCUCUUGGAACGGCGCACGUACGUGCGGAGCACGGGCGCGCACGAAGCCAGGGUCGUCCGCGCCGGGGUUGUGGCGCGCGAAGUUGAAUCCCGCGCUUGCGUCAGUCGGGAUUCCAGGAGCAUUGGGUCGUGCAUGUGACUCACAGGAGCCAUUGGACUCGUGACGCAGGAACAGUGCGGCGUCGUCCUCGAACGCGCUGCGAGCGGCGCCGGGCCCACGGCGUUCGGCGGAGCAGACGCCUUCCCAUUGGGGAAAGUUGACCCGCUGAGCAGCAGGCGACGUGCGCUGCAGCGCGUUCACGGGCGACAUGGCGCUGCGGCCUUUUGCCUCGGUCUUCGUGCGUGAAGAAGACAGCUCCUGCCCCGCUGAGCUGGGCGCCGGUUGCUCCCUCAGCUGCUCCGCCGGUUGAGGCACGGACCGGUCGCCGACCGGCGAACAUGGCCCCGGCUCGCCGGCAGCAACCACCUGCUCCGGCGUCGUCGUUGCGGCGGGCGAGGAGGCGAGCACAGCGGGCUGUGGCCUGGGCGAACGCGCAGUGGGUGAACGCGAACGCGCACAGCACGCGCCGCCGGCACACCGCGUCCGCGCACUGGAGCUUGGUCCCUGAGUAGAAGCGCCGUCGCAACCAUCCUCGACGCCAGGCUGUAUGAAGAAGCCAUGCAACCUCGGACCCACUCCGCGCGAUUCUCCAUAACCGCGAUCGGGGUUUCCAUCAUGACCCGAGUCUCCAUCGUCGGAGGGAGGCGACGGCUCCGGGGAAGGCGACCUCGAACGGAAGUCAGCAACGUUCCUGAGAUGAAUGAGCACGUUAUAGGCUAGUACCUUCUUCAGCCUGAGAUAUGGCGGCAAGUUCCCAAAGAUGCGUUGCAUGUCGGGGUCAUCGUAUGUGACGCGAUGCCCGUGGCCCGUGCUCGGCGAUGAAGAUCGUCUUGCGCCGCGGAAUUCUUGCCGGAUCAUCUGUCCAUGCCGUCAGCUUCAUUCUGGACAUGUCAGAACAUGAACAAGCUUGAUACUUUUGUGAAUUUCCCAAUCCAUGAGACCAUGACCUCAGUAUGAGCAAGUAUGUGAAGCAGAUGUCGAGAGGUGAUAAGCAGCCCAUGUAUGAACUCUAUGCGCUGAUCAAUCAUAAUGAUGAUCUGGGUGGUGGACACUACUCAGCAUACGCAAAGGUACUUAUAUUUUCGUGUCGCUGUUAUAUUAACAUAUUAUAUUUACAUAUGUUUACAUUAUUGUAAGUGUUCUUAAUUGUAUAGCUUCCUGGAACCGCUUAUGGUGUCACUUGCAGGAAUUAUUAUUUCUUUUUUAUUUCCAAAGGAUGAAGAGGACUACGAGGAGGCCAAGUUCGAUGCUCCAAUGCUCUUCUAGGCAGAUGGCAUUCACCUCCCAUCCAAUGCUCCAACAGAGUUACUGGACCUGAGACAUUUAAAUAACUCCUUCCUAACGUACAACGGUGUAACCAUGUCCUGAAUAUAUCAUAUACAAACUACUAGUAUUUGCAAGCAAUAUGGUAACUGCAUACUUGACUCUUGAUCACAUCAACAGGACAUCACCUCCAUUGUCGUCUAGUCCGGUUAGGAUACCUGGCUUUCACCCAGGCGACCCGGGUUCAAAUCCCGGCAAUGGAGUUAAGCUCAUCAUGACAUCAACUGUUGCAUUGGGCAUUUAACCUAGCUUGACUUUUUGAUGGAUCAAUCUGCAAACAGCUUCUUCCUUAUAGGUAUUUCUCCAUUAGUCCUAAAAAUUUAGUUUUCGUUUGUGUUUAACCUCCUACCCCUAUGGCAUUUACAUGAUCACUACAUAUAGCGUAUAAUAUUAUUAUAUGAUAAUAAUAUAUACAUAUGACCCUCACCCAUAGCAACGCACGGACAAAUUUGCUAGUUAUAUAAAAAAUACAAGAACCAAGAGCAAUCUGAAAAAAACACACAUAUCCUUAGAGUAGACUAUGGAAUUAAGUAGAGUUAACUUGAAAUCACAAAUAUUUUUUAGGCUAGUACUAAUUCAGAACUUUUUACAGAGGACAUCAGGGUUCAUUAAAUUUGGAUUUGCUAUUAGGAAUGAUGAAGUAAUUGACACUAAACUGUUAGAUCGAUCAAUGGAUGAGCAGAAUAUUAACCUUGAUCUUUCUAUCACCCCAUUGGUGAUUGGUCCAAGACAACAGCAAUUGCUGCAUUGAAACACCACCAAGCUGGUGGCAGUCAGUUUUUGUAGUCAAUCCACAUGUUGAGUUCAAUGUGAACUUCAUACCUGUUGGUGAAUAGAGAAAUCAGAGUCAAUUGUUACAUGCAAAAUAAUGUAAAGGAAUUAAAUAUUAGACCAAAAAAAACUAUGCCUGUGCUUUCAUAUUAAUGCUCUAUUUUCCAUGCAAACUAAGACAUAAACAAAAUACCCCAAAAACUGAGAAUAAACAACCAUCUUGAAGCCUUGCCUCUAUUUUUGAAUCUAAUUUGUUGUGCGGCAGAUUCUUAUUCUCCCUCACAGCUACCAGGACGCCAGACUGCAGCAUCGGAGAGGUUCUAGUUAAUACGAUACAGUUUGGUACACAUGGCAUGCAAGAUGUAAGCAAAGGGGUUGCGAGGUAAGGGCCAGAGCAAGCACAUUGGCAAUUAGGAUUAGAUGAAGCAUUUCUUGAAAUAUUAGUUAAUGCACAUGAACCUGAAUCUUUCAUUAAUAUUUAAAAGCCACGUAUUGUUGUGUAGUUUUCUUUUGUUCUUCUACUAACCAGAAAUUUGAGACAUGUUCAUUCGAGAUGAAAUGUCUUUUUUGUGAGUGUCCAUACAUAUCUUGACAUACCACUUUCAUAUAGGAGUGAUGACUCACAAUUCAAGUCCACUAAAAUCACCUGACGAUGAACAUAAAACAGAGGAAAGAUGGUAACUAACCUCAAUCAGCAAUAUGAUUCACAGUGUAUGUCACAUUCUAAGGGACUUGAAUCUGCACGUAUGAAAGUAUCAGCUUUUAACGAGAGAAGGAGGGCCUCUCAGCCUAGAUGAAGAGCUAAACAUGAAGUUAGUACCGAAGUAAGCAUGUAAAUUUCCUGAGCAGAUGAACAACAUCCACACAGAUGUAUGAACAUUACAUAUACUAAUUAGUAGCACUAUCAAAUUGGACGGACCACUUCAUACCUCGAACCCAGGACAGUAAUCUGUAUCAUGCAGCUGUAAGUAGGCACCAUUUCAUAGUUAAUCAUGCAUUCUUGAUGAGGGCUCCAGGUCAGUUGAGCAUAUAUUGCAAUGUAAUCUGCAUAACUGCAUGAAAGAAUAAUACAAUCGAAUGAAGAUUAUAUAGAAUUAGGCAGCAUUCUCUAUGAUUUUAAAAAUGCAGAGAACUGAAAAGAAGAUCAUUUUAAGUAAACAAGAAGGCACGGCGGGAGUAGCCCUGCAAAUAAAUGUUGAAGCUACAGGAGUCAACUAAAGCAAAACUAAACAAUCCAUUGAGAUCAUGUAAUCGACAUUUGGAGCAACAGGCUUACCUGUACUUGGGCAUACCGACAUAGGCUGGCUACACUUGUCAUGGCAAGCUAGCGAGCAUUAGGCGAUGCUGUCACAGGAAGCAUAGGCAAGGCAGGUAUGAUCUAUUUUGUGCAAAGCCACAGUUAAAGCUAGAAGAGCAAGGAUACCAGUGGCGAGUAAAAUGCCAUGUAAGUAGUACCAAGACCUAGGACUCCGCUUUGCUAUAAAGCAGCAAACUGCCAGUUCGACAUUUAUCGUAACAAGCAUCCAUAUCCAUCUAGUAUAUGUUUUUAAGGAAGUCUGAUGGAGCGCACGCGGCAGGGCCGACGGCCACGAUCAACCGGGGCGCGGCCAACAGUAGAACAGUGGUAGAAACAGGUAUUUUCAGUAUUUGUUGCAAAGUUCACAUGUUUUCAGUAUUGGUAUGUCAACAAAUCUGUGAUAACUAAUGCCAAUUGUAUUGUACUUUACAAAGCAACUGACAGGUACUCGGUAAAUUCCAUGCCUGCAUUUUUUCCGUCAUUCAUACCAAUAACUCAAGUCUUGUGUAAAACUGAAAAGCUAAAUUUCCUAGGUGAAGGUGUUCCUGAAUGGUUCUCAGAUUAAGAUAUGACUGGAGUUUAUAUGCUUACAAUUAUAUCCAGAGUUUUGUCCCUUUUGUGCAUGCCUAAAAUUAUCUGAAUGUGAUAGCAGAAGUCAUGUUGAGAAUCGCAGCAAUAGUAAAGGCAUUGCAACCAUUACACUUUGCAAGUACAAUGUCGCAUUGCUGCAUUACAUAUGAGUUUCAGAGUUUGGCUUCCAAAUAUACUAUCUUAAGGAUUUUUCAAACAAGGGCAGAUCAAAAUUUAUCUCUGAUAGGUACCAACAAAAGCAGUAUAGUAAUAUGCACUGCUUUAUUUUAUUUUUUUUUUGAACGAAUUGGCACGGGAUAGUGCCUAUUGCAUUGAUAAAGAAGAUAGUUACAGAUUUUACAUUGGGGUUACCGGGUGUUGUUUUUCAUACGCGAUUACUCUCUGGAUAAGAAUUUCGCUAGUGGACUCGCCCCCGCUAAAAUCCAUGUGUCUGCUUCCGCCUUGAUGUGCGCCUGCAGGGAGGGUGCUGCCAUUCCUUGAUGGUCGAAAAUUCGUCGGUUUCGUUCCUUCCAAAUUUCCCAGAUUACCAAUAGGCUCAUCGAGCAGGUUCCUUUCCGAGGAGCUUCUGUCCGUGUAGUCAUAUUGAUCCACCACUCAAGCGCGGUGUUACAUGGUGGCCAUUCCGAAGGAUGCAGGCCGGGUUGCGAUGCCCAACUGGUUACGAGACCCCAUAUCCGUUUGGUGUACCUGCAUUGUGUCAGGAGAUGAUGAGCAGUCUCUUGGUGUGCAUGGCAUAAGGGGCAACAUGGCGAGUGCGGCCAUCCCCUUCGCGCGAGCCGAUCCGCUGUCCACACCCUAUCCUGUAGUAUCAGCCACGCGAAAAAUUUGCAUUUCGGUGGGGCCCAAGCUUUCCAUAUUGUGCUGCUGUGCGGCGCGUAAGUUGAUCCAAGAAACUGUGCGUUGUAUGCUGAUGCCGUUGAGUAUUGCCCGUUUGGCGUGAAUUUCCAGCGGAUCGUGUCUUCAUUUUGUGCUUGUAGGCUCGCUGUCUGUACGAGUCUCCAUAGGGUGGUGAAUUCGCGUAAGUGCUGCACUGCUAGGCCGGCGUGUAUGUUUAUAUCCGUCACCCACCUAUUGUUGUGUAAGGCUGCUGCAAGAGUUUUUUUCUUCCCCUUAGUUAUUUUGUAUAUGUUGGGCGCAAUGUCCUUUGGCCGUUCUCCGUUUCCCCACGCAUCGUGCCAGAAUUUUAUUUUGCUUCCAUUUCCCACUGUGAUGUCUGUGCAUGCAGCGAAUAAUCGUCGGUCAGAGCCGUCGCAUGGGAUCUCCGUUCCUAUCCAUGUUUUUUCCGGGGACUCCCACUCAUGCCAAAGCCAGCGGAGUCGCAGAGCUCUCGCGAAGUUUUGGAGGUUUAGGACUCCCAAACCGCCAUUAUCCUUUGGUAAGCAGGUUUUGGUCCAGUUGACCUUGCAUUUGCCUCCUGUUAGCUGAGUGUCUCCAGCCCAGAUGAAUCUCUUCCUUAUUUUAUCUAGUUCUUCCAGGACUUCGCGUGGUGGUUUUAAAAUAGUAAGCAGAUAUAGAGGUUGCGCAGAGAGUACAGCUUUGGUGAGGCAGAUUCGGCCUGCUUGUGAGAUAUUGCGGUUCUGCCAUCCCGAUAGCUUCUUAGAUGCUUUAUCUAUAAGGGGUUGGAAGUCUACCCUCCUGAGGCGCCUUAUUGCCAGUGGUAGCCCGAGGUAUUUUAGCGGGAAGCCAGUGCGAGUGAUUGGCCAUUCGGAUAGUAUUUCAUCGAGGUCUACGUUAGUGCAGCUAAUGGGAGUCACUGUCGUUUUUUGUAGAUUUGUUUGUAGCCCUGUUGUCUCGCCGAAGAAAUGUAGGAGUUUUGUCACAUUGGUUACAUCGUCCUUUGUUGGUUUGACAAAGAUAGCCGCGUCAUCAGCAUACAUGGAAAUGCUAGUGCGCAGCAUGCGUCCGUCCAGUUUUUGAAGUAGCUUCAUUUCUGUCGCCGUGCGCAUGAGUUGGUACAGUGGGUCUAUUGCCAGGAUGAAGAGAAAGGGGGAGAGGGGGUCUCCUUGCCUUAGUCCCCGUCCAUGUACUAUUGCGUCGGACGGGGAUCCGUUGAUUAGGAUUUUGGAGGUUGAUGUGAUUAGUAGUGCCGUGAUCCAGCUACGCCAUCUUGCAGAGAAUCCUCUAUGUUGUAGUAACUCGAGCAGGUAGUCCCACCGUACGGAAUCGAAGGCCUUUGAGAUAUCCAGUUUCAUUAGCAGUGUCGGCUUGCCUCGUCUGUGGAACCUUCUCGCCAUGUUGCGGACAUAUAAGAAAUUGUCAUGGAUACUUCGUCCUUUAAUGAAGGCACUCUGGCUUGGCGAGAUCAAUUUGUCCAUGUAGGGCUGAAGCCUAGUGGCUAGGGCUUUGGUAAUGAUCUUGGCUAUUGCAUGUAUGAGACUGAUCGGCCGGAAAUCGUUGAUACUUUCUGCUCCGUCUUUUUUGGGUAUCAGCACGAUAGCUGCGGUGUUAAUUAAAUUGAAGUCGUUGCAUCGCCCAGCGUGGAAGGCGUUUACCGCUGCUGUGAUGUCUCCCUUGACGAUGUCCCAGCAAGACUUGAAGAACAAUCCUGUGAAACCAUCCGGGCCUGGCGCUUUAUCUUUGGGCAGGGCGGUUAUCGCAUUUUGUAUUUCUUCCUCUGAGAAAGGAUCGUCAAGUCCGGAUAGGUCCACCGAUGGAAAAUGCAGGUGUUCCCAGUUGAAAGUUUUGGUGCGGGCUGGGGGCGUGGACAUGACCGUGCUGAAGUGACUUUGGAUGAUUUGCUGUUUUUGUAGGUGCGUCACAGCCCAUUCGUUUCCUCUCCUCAAUCGCUGAAUGAAGUUUUUUCGUCGUCUCCCAUUUGCCUUAAGAUGAAAAAAUUUUGUAUUCGCGUCUCCUUCGCGUAGGUAGGUUAUCCUAGAGCACUGUUUUUUCCUUGCUUUCUCUAUGGCCGCCCAUCCCAACAGUCGUUGUUUUAGUUUGGCCCGUAUAGUGUGCUCAGAUGCCGUGAGCGUUCUUGACUCUUCAGCUAUAUCAAGGCGUAGGAUCACUUCUUGUGCCAUAUGUAGUUUUAGACGAGCAUCUGAGACAUGCGUUCGGCUCCAUGUCCGAAGUGCGCGGGCCGUAUUGUGUAGUUUGCAACCCAGCCUGUGGAACGGCUCAGUAUGGGCUGUCGGCUUUGACCAUUCGUUGUUUACCGUUUCGCGGAAUCCAGGCAGUCUUGCCCAAAAGUUUUCGAAACGGAAGGGAGUCGGUUUGCGAGGUCCUGAUUGUUGCGCUAGUAUCAACGGGCAGUGGUCUGAGUGCGAGGAGGAUAUGGCGUGGAGAACGUGAUUGUCAAAUUUUAUAUCCCAAGGUGCAUUGCAGAAAACUCUGUCAAUUCGCGUUAGCGUCGGCUGGCGUCGUGCAUUGCUCCAGGUGAAACGCCUAUUUUGUAGGUGUAUUUCUUUAAGACCGCAGAAGUUCAGGGUUGCCCUGAAGGCUCUCAUGAGGCUCCGGUUUAGGUUGGAAUUGUUCUUGUCUGCCGCACUAUAUAUUAGGUUGAAGUCACCUAGUAUUAGCCAUUGGGUGUCGUCGUCAGGCGCUAUGGCUCGUAGUUGACGUAGGAAUGCAGGCUUUGCCGAGUGUCUUGCCGGACCGUACACUGUCGUAAGUUGGAAGCGGUCGUUGCUGUGUUUGACUAUUGCUGUCGCUGAAAUGCAAGAGCGACUGGUUUGGAUAUCCUGCAGAUCAAAAACUCCCCCGUCCCAGAGUACUAGUAUGCCGCCUUUUGUGCCUGCGGCCGCUUGAUAUGUGAAAUUUGAUAAGCGAGGCCCUCCUAGUAGAUGUACUAGUGCCGCGUCGAUGUUUUGCAAUUUGGUUUCCUGUAGACAGACAAUGUGGCAUGGUGUAGCCGCUAUGGUUUCGCGUACUGUAAGACAUCUUGCAGGGGAGUUCAACCCUCGCACAUUCCAACUCAUUAUUUGAAAAUUGUUACUCAUUAGGGGCAUGUCUGUAGCGCACGGAGGUGGACGGAUCGGUGGGCUGAUCGGAUUUCAGUUGAUGCGGCCAUUGCGUUUUAACUUGUCGAGUGGUAGUCCCCUGGGCGCAUCGCGUUGUGGUCGAGGUUGCCGUUAUUGUGGAUUUGCGAGCGUCUGCGCAUUUUGCAAUAGCUAGAAAAGGCGUCCCUGUUUUAGGUGAGUCGUAGUCGGGGCGUAGUGCGUAGUUCAUGGUUUCUGCCCGAAGGUCGCAGCCAGCAGGGCUAGAGUGGAGUCCUCCCCGAAGGUCGCAGCCAGCAGGGUGAGGAGCAUCCAUAUAAGGUACAUAUAGGUAGCAAUGCAUAAACUGAUAGAGGGACGCUGGACGUAAGUGCCACAGUAGAGGUUUAUGGAGCCGCAUGGUGCAUCUGUUGGAGCUCAUCGAUAUCAACGCCGGCCAUCUGUAGAAGGGCUUCAUUAGCUUGAUCCGCCGCUGCGUCGUCAAGGUCGAAGAGAGUAGUCAUGGCGGCGAUAAUGUAGUCCGGCAGUGGUCCCUGAAACAUGUUAAGAAAAUCCUGCAAAAUCUGCUCAAUUGGCGUUAUGUCUUCAUUUCCGAUGCCUAGUUUUUUGCAAAGAUUGCGCUGCGCUCGUUCUACCGCUGGCAUAGCCGGUUUUUUAGCUAAACGUGCGCUGCGCCGAACUUUGGUCAUGUCAAAGGUGCGGCUUUUGCGUGUGCGCUGCGGUGGGGUGUGUAGCAGAACUGGUGGUGGUGGGUUUACGAACAGGUUCUCCACUUGGGGCUGUUGCAUGACUUGUGUCUCGGCGGAUUGUAUCUGGGAGAGCGUGGGCCGGUUUGGAGUUGUGUUGUUGGCCGUUCUGGUGCGGCGGUGGUAUAGUAUGGGCGCUGGUUUUGUUUUGCGGGCCGCAGUGUUGUGCUCAGUGUUGUGCUGUUGGGCCAUAGUGGCUAUGUCCCCUCGGCAUGCUUCCUGUCGCAGCGAUGAUGGGCUCCCGAAGUGGGCUUCCGGCCUCCCCCUUGCCGUGGCAAGUUGGUUUCCCUGGCGGGCCGCCCCACCAGGAGGGCAACCUUGCUGGGCCGCCCUGCCGGGCGAGCCAUUCUUCUUCCGCUGGGCCGUGUUGCCAGACAAUGCUGCUAGCUGGGCCUCAUCGCUAGGAGAGUCCUCUCGCUGGGCCAGGUCGCGCGGGCUCCGCCGGUCGUCCUCAGUCACCAUGCACAGUGCAUCGAGGGCGCUGCUGACCUCGUCGACCGUCGGAGAGGCCGCCGUCGCCUCCGCCGCCGGCCCCAGCAUCAGCGCCGAGCGGAGCGUGGUGAAGACCCGCGGCAGCGGCACAGGAGCGGACCAGGCCUCAUCCCCCGUCACCUCGUCGUCGAUGCCGAUCCGAUCCGCCAGCCAGCUGGCCUUGCGGAGGUACUCGUCGGCGCCGUCUUUCCAGAAACGCUUCCUGGCAUCUAAUGUGGAGGGGUCAGCAGAAGGAGGUGCUUCGAUUACCUGUUGGUGGAUGUAGUCCUUCAGAGUUGCCGCCUGCGCCGCGAAGAGGGCUUGGAGCUGGGAUGGAGGUAAGGCUGCAAGUCUCUGAUUGUCGUCGUCGUGGCGCCGUCCGCUCGGGGGGCCGUAGUUGCGCCGUGGUGGAGAGCGGGUGCGGUCACGGCGUGUUGUUUCCGCGCACCCCCAGUAAUCGGACUUGAAGUGGCACCCCUGUCCUGGGUGGGUGUAGUCGUCGUCUUGGUCGUCGUCAUCGCCGCGACGGGACGGCCAGUUGAAUGGCCGGUCGUCGCAGCGUUGUCGUGCCGCCUGGCGCUUGGCGCCGUCAUCUUUGUUGCGGUGGGCUUGAUGAGUGGAGAUGUCGCGUCGCCGUCCACCGUCUUCUGGUUCCCCCACGGCUCUGCGUCUUGGCUCUGUUCUGUGGCCGCCCGCCGGGGCGCGCCGCCCUUCGUUGUGGUCGCCUGCUGAGCUCUCCCGCGGUGGUCGAGGUAGUCGCGCCGGAUAGCGCGAGCGGGCGUCGGAGGGCGCCCCGUCAAUCAGGCCGUAGCGCCAUUCGUAGCGCCGCCUGAUGGGGACGAUGCUCUGUGGGUUGUCGAUGGCUUGCUGGAGGUCCCGCGCCGCCGCCGAGUAGUCCUCCAGAAGAGGCAGGUGUAUGAAGACUUCAUACCGAGUCCCUUGCUGCCAUGGCAGCUGCAAGGGCUCGGCCGAGACAGCGAAGGAAGAAGAGCUUGCUGCUGGGCUAUUGGUGAAAGCGAGCCAUACCUUCUUCGGGAUUUCACUUGGGUCGACGGUCCAAGCCCAGAGUUCUAUGUGUCUGGAGUCCGCCGGUUGAAGAAGAUCGGUGACGAUGUGUUGUAGAGCGCACUUGUGGCCGAUGACUCGCUCCACGAUCUCCGGUGUCCACGCGUGCGCCGGAAUCCCGUCGAGGCAGAGGCGGACUCUGUAGAAGAUGCGGAAUCCCAGUGCGUGGGUGAGGCUUCGCCAGGGGCGGAGGCAGAUGUCGAUGCCGGCGCCUGUGAACCUGCGUCGCCGUCGUGCCGCCGCCGCAUGCUCCGCCUGCUCGAACUUGAUGAGGUAAGGUUCGGGCUGGUGGAGAGUGACUGUGACGUCUCCUGGCCUCAGGUGGAGCUCUCUGGUGAGGAGUGCGGCGAUAUCCCUGGCGCCGGCAGCAGGGGGCAGGUGUAUUGCCCACGGAACGAGUGCGCAAGCUUCCCAGUCGCAGGCAUCAUGCUGAAGGUGGAAGGUGGGGGAAACGAAGACGGUCUCAACCUCCGGCCUGGUGUUCGGGUCGCCAAUAGCCAUUUUGGGUGCGGCGGCGCUUGGUUUUGCUGGGUGGCGGUUGUGGCUUUCAGGGGCGCUGCGGUGUGUAUGAGGGCUUGUGCUUUGGUUCAGCGGGCGGCGGUGGUGGGUGGGGGGUCUGGCGGUGGGUGGCGGAUGAUGGCGAGCAGGCUCCGGCGGUGUGGAGGUGCAGGGCUCAAAUCGGCGAGGCGGCGGUCCCUCUGCUCUGCACUCGCGCUCUCUGUGCCCGGAGCGCCGGCACCGGAAGCAGCGCACCGGGUCGCGGCACUCGGAGGCGAAGUGGUUGGGGGCAAGGCAGCGGAAGCAGAGUCCCUGAGUCGCCCGCUUAAAGGCCAGCAGAGCUCGGCUUGAUGGCCGUCUUGAAGUGUCGCUGCGGCUCCGGUCAUGUCCGCCGUCGCGUCUUGGCUCCUCGGGCCGCGCUUGCCGCCGCGUUCUUCGGCUUGUCACAGUGUGCCAAUCCUGGAGAUCCGAAUUGUGCCGCUGAGCCCCCUUUACUCCCCCAUACGGAGGUCCAGGAGGCGGAGGCGCUGGUGCGGGGUCUUGAAUGCGCCGCGUUGCUGUCGUGUCGCCGGAUGUACGCCGUCGUCCUUGGGUCGGUGGGCUGCCGUCACCAGGGUGGCGUAGAUGUACUCGAGCAGGUGAGGUAUUGAAGGCUCUGCCGCUGACGACUUCUGCGUAGGAUCGCAUCCUACACCGCGCGUCGGGUCUGUGGGCAGCAGGCAGGAGAUCUUGAAGGGGAGGUCGCGGAUCCGGCGAGGUGACCGCCGGAUCCGGCGAUUCCGGCACCCAAUCGACCUCGGUCGUCGGCCGCCGGUGAAUCCGCGGUGGUGGCGGCGGGGAGGCAUGGGUAAACUGCGCCCAGGCUCUCGCUGAGGUGGGGGAUAGGGGUCCGGGCAGGUGGAUCUGGGCGCGGUGGAUCUGAGGUUGGGUGGGCGCCGGCAAUGGUGGGCGGCGCGGCGGUGGUGGAGCGGCGGGGGCUUGGGGGGAAGGGGGAGCGGGGGGGGCUCGGUGGGGAAGCAUUUUCCAUGCACUGCUUUAGGAUGCACCAAUAACUGUAACAAAUGGAAUUACCCAAAAACAAAAUCAGAAGUUGAUGAGCCUUUGUGCAUGCUCACCAAUUCAGGAAAUUGGCGCCAACACAAACUGCAACUCCUGGUGCUUGUACCAACGCAAAUAUCACACUACACAUUUCUGCCAAAAAAAGAAAAAACUGCAGAUGAUACAAGUAGGCAUGGUGGUUUCUCAGUGCCACAAAGAGCUGCUUGGAAAUUGCUCCCCCAAUUGUUAUGAGAUUAUUUUACCCUCUCUAUUUGCAUGCAUGGUUCAUGUCUUUUAAUUCUUCAGCUCAUAGCCCUGUUUUGAAAUUUGAACCUCCAGGAUUACUCACAAUGCAGGAGACCAUUGACAUUGACAAGCACAGUGAUAUGCUGCAACACCUGGAGGCAGUUGUAAAUUCUAGAGACUGAAUUUGGAAACAUGCAUGAUGAGUCUGAGAAUGAGAUAUAUGAAUCUCAUAGGAUGAAUUCAAAUAAAAACACAAGAUCUAGUUGAUCUGGCAUCUCUUAAGUAAGAUUACAUAGAAACUCAACAGCAAGCUCAAGCUGAAGUUGAAGGCAGUGGAUUGAGAUGGAGGAGGAGGCUCUGGCAUGCCGAAUCGAUCAUCUUCCAGUCCCAGUGCAAGCUAGCUUUGUGGUCUGAUCGUCUGAUCCAGUCCAGCGUAAAAUUCUCUCAAGGCCGCCUCGAACUGCUCCGGGUCCACCUCCUCCUCCUCCUCCUCCUCGUCGUCGCUGGAGCCAUAGUGCGGCUGGCCGUCCUCAUCGAUGUAGAGGUACGGGAUCCUGAAAUUCAUGAUCCUCCUCCUCCUCCUCCUCCCCUGUUCCUGCUCCUGCUCGUGGUCGUCCUCCGUAGACAGCUGGUGGCGGCAGAGAGGGCAGACGGCGUUCCGGCGGAGCCACUCGAAGAUGCAGUGCUCGUGAAAGGUGUGCGAGCAAGGCAUGGCCCUCACCGGAACUGGAUGGGCCUUGUCGGAGUAAUCGAGAUCCUGAAGGCAGAUGGCGCAGCAGUCGUCGUCGGACCCGUCCGUCGGCGGCGCCGUCACCUCCCGCAGGCCUUGGAUGGCCUUGCUGGAGGCGGCGACGCGGCCGCGCUUGUUGCUGAUGGAAGCGGCGGCGGCAUCGCCUCGGGUGAGUGACGAGACCGACGCCGGCGGGUAAAGCGGCGGCGGCGUGGCUUGGUCAAACAACGGCGGCGACUCUCCUCCUCCUUGGGCUUCGAUCUCCCCAAUCUCCCACACUAUAUCUUCUUCCAUGGCAGGGAUCGGAAGGGAGACGGCACCCAAGAGGAACAAUGGCCAAGACAGAGACGACGAGUUGAUUGAUGGAUGGAUCCAUUGGUUAUGUAGGCGGUGGUGGCGGCAAAUCACCGGGAGUCGGACUCCGAUCUGCUGCUGCUGCUUGGAUCGCACGCGCGCGGUGUCCGAUUCCGAUCCGCAUCCAGAAUCUACCUUCUCGUCGGGCAAUUGCAGGUUCAGACUUCAGAGGUGUCAUCAGCCACUGAACAGGUAGGUCUUGUUUUUGAUCUGCAAGCUGCAGCUUCCUGAAACAACUGUAAUUGCAGCUUCCCUUGUUGGCGCAAUGGAUCUCAUCUACUGCAAAUUUGCAAUUUUAUUUGGCCAGUUUCUUUUGACUUUGUAAUUAGCAUGGCUAUGUAUGCCAGUAGUGCCUUUUUCUCUUUUGACGUUUUAACUCCUCCGGGCAGAUGGCAUUCACCUCCCCAUCCGUAGAGCUACAGAUUCUGAAAACUAACACUGAAUGCUUCAAAUUUUGCCAAAGUUCAGAGAUAUUUAUCUGUCAAACUAAUUAUCCUUUGAGCGUACAACUGUUAUACAACUUGUAGCACUAUGUACCAGCUCCAUCCAAUUUCUAGUAAAGGUUCAUGGUCGGCUACAGUUUGAAAUUUGAUGAAAUUUAGCAAGUUUGGUGAUCUGAGCAGCUGACUGCGCUGUUGAUCGUCCAAAGACUCUGUCAUUCCGUUCUCGCCAAAUGGUCCAAGAGAUCAACAUGAAAGAGGAGUCGAGGCCCUUUCGACGUAACAAGCAUCCAUAUCCAUCUAGUAUAUGUUUUUAAGGAAAAAUCAUUUUUUUCUGCAGACGGCCAAUGUAGUAUUUCCCCACAGACCUAGCUGGAGUACUGAAAUACUAAUUGGCAAGCACAGGGGUAGCAUAAUAGGAGAGAACACACACGUUGAGUUAAUUUCAGGUUGUAAAGGAUUUAUAAAUUCGACUGUGAGCUCAGCUGGAGCGGGAAUGAUGCAUCUGGCACAAAAUAGAUCAGAAGGACCAGCUUCCCGGUGACCAUCACCGUGGCCUGAGGGGGCAUGGCAAGGAGCACAGUGAAAUGCCGGCGACGGAUCUUCAUCCACACUAACAAAUCUGUGAUAACUAAUGCCAAUUGUAUUGUACUUUACAAAGCAACUGAUAGCCAUGUGUGCAUGCAUGGUUCAUCUCUUAAUUCUUGAGCUCAUAGCCAUGUUUUGAAAUUUGAACCUCCAGGAUUACUCAAUGCAGGAGACCAUUGACAUUGACAAGCACAGCACAGCGAGGCUGUGGUCUGUGAUAUGCUGCAACACCUGGAGGCAGUUGUAAAUUCUAGAGACUGAAUUUGGAAACAUGCAUGAUGAGUCUGAGAAUGAUAUGAAUCUCAUAGGAUGAAUUCAAAUAAAACACAAGAUCCAGUUGAUCUGGCAUCUCUUAAGUAAGAUUUACAUGGAUAUAUCUAAGAUACGCCUCUCCUGCCAUGCCUUGCGGUGGGGGUAGAAACUCAACAGCAAGCUCAAGCUCAAGUUGAAGGCAGUGGAUUGAGAUGAAGGAGGAGGCUCUGGCAUGGCGAAUCGAUCAUCUUCCAGUCCCAGUGAAAGCUAGCUUUGUGAUCUGAUCGAAUGAUCCUCAGCUGAGGCUGCGGCGUUGCGCCCCAUGUUGAGCCAACCAGCGUAAAAUUCUCUCAAGGCUGCCAUACUCACCACAACCUCCUCCUCCUCCUCCUCCUCGUCGUCCCUGGAGAAAGGUUGCGCCGUGUAGUACCAGAAGCCAUAGUCCUGGCCCUCCUCAUCGCUGUAGACGAACCGGGUCCUGAUCCUCCUCAUCCCCUGUUCCUGCUCCUGCUCGUGGUCGUCCUCCGUGGGCAGCUGGUGGCGGCAGAGAGGGCAGACGGCGUUCCGGCGGAGCCACUCGAAGAUGCAGUGCUCGUGGAAGGUGUGCGAGCAAGGCAUGGCCCUCAGCGGAACUGGAUGGGCCUUGUCGGAGUAAUCAAGAUCCUGAAGGCAGAUGGCGCAGCAGUCGUCGGACCCGUCCGUCGGCGGCGCCGUCACCUCCCGCAGGCCUUGGAUGGCCUUGCUGGAGGCGGCGACGCGGCCGCGCUUGUUGCUGAUGGAAGCGGCGGCGGCAUCGCCUCGGGUGAGUGACGAGACCGACGCCGGCGCGUAAAGCGGCGGCGGCGUGGCUUGGUCAAACAACGGCGGCGACUCUCCUCCUCCUUGGGCUUCGAUCUCCCCAAUCUCCCGCACUAUAUUUUCUUCCAUGGCAGGGAUCGGAAGGGAGACGGCACCCAAGAGGAACAAUGGCCAAGACAGAGACGACGAGUUGAUUGAUGGAUGGAUCGAUUGGUUAUGUAGGCGGUGGUGAUUGGCAAGGGGCGGGCGCCUCUGCCCAACCACCCGCCACCCGUCCGACUCCGGCCGCCGCCGUCGAAGCCGGCCUCCACGUCACGCUCUCUUCCUCCCCUCCCUCCUCCUCUCUCCCUCUCCACUCCCACUCCGCAAACCCUAGCACCGCCGGUAGCCUAGAUCUGCCACCGAUCGCCGGCUGCCGCGGGCAGAUCCGCCUCCCCUGAGCUUGGAUCUACUCAUCCUGGAUGCAGGGCCCCUUCCCCGAUGGCCGCCACGUUCUCUCUCCCCCUUUCCAUCGCCUGGAGGACAGGGGUCGCGACCGGAUCCACGUUCUCCCUCCGCCACCCCUUCCACUGCCAGAGGCCGAGCGGCGAGGGUAGCUGCACCCCUACCCGGCUAUCAGGUCCGCCGGGGGGUGGGGCUCUGUACGCCGCCGCCGGCACCGCUGGCGCGUGGCCGCCCAAGUGGACCACGACCGGAUCCGUGUCCCUCCCCUUGCCACCCAUUCCGCUGCGAGGAUGGUCGCGUCCCUCCCCGGCUGUCGGGUCCAUCGGGGGCGGGGCUCUGUGCGACGCCGCUGGAGCGUCCCCCCUGGUGGCGCAUUUUCGCCAACUGGGGGGGGCGAACAACUGGCUAUGUGGCAGCAUUCUUCCACUCCUUGGCGCCCGGCAGUCCCUGUGCUCCUGGUGGCAGCGGUGAUUUCUGGGGAAGAAACGGGGUUAGGCGAAAGCCUUGUGCCUGCUUGCAGGUCGAUGAUGGCGACGCCCCCGGGUGCCACUUCCUUUCUUGAAGGUGUCAUUCAUUCCCCUUUUCCCUCCCUACGACGAGUUUUCGGGUGAAAACCUUGACCGUGUUGGUCGGACGACGACGGCGCCAGUGGUGUCGCCCCCUCCCUUGAGGCGUGGUUUUGGAAGCUUAGCGGGCUCUUGCUGCUGUCACUGCAGGGAUCAUUGCUGAACGCCGCCCCCGGUCGUCUCCGUCGGUCAGAGUCCUCGUGGUGGCUGUCUCGGGAAGUGUCUUCUUCUGUGCCUACCCUUGCUUCAAUUUGUCAACUCCGCUCGGGUUGCUUAGGUCGUCGUCGUCUAGCAGAUGCUUUGCCACUGUAGUUGCUUCGGGUGGAUGCUUUGCCAUCGCGGUUGUGCUGGUUAGGUGGAUGCUUUGCCACUGUUGUUGUGUUCGGGCGGAUGCUCUACUGCCGUGACCUUUAACACUCUUGACGAGGUUGCAUCUUUUGGCAGGUUCAGGAGAGUGGCUAUGUCUAGGUACGUGGGUUCGAGUGUGCUUCCUCUUUAUUGUUUCGCGUCGUAUGGUGGUUGUUUGUCUGUUUCUUUUUCUUUGUUCUUUUGUGCUCUCGUGCUGGUCAAGCUCUGCUUGACUUCAUCGAGAUUGUGUCUGUAAACUACUUUCUUGUUAAUUGAAAGGUGCUGAGGCACUCACGAAAAAAAAGAGCGUACAACUGUUAUAGAACUUGUAGCACUUUGUACCAGCUCCAUCCAAUUUUUAGUAAAGGUUCAUGGUCGGCUAUAGUUUAGAGAUAUUGUAGUUCACUUGAAAAGGUUCUCAUGCAGCCGCUACAUGAACAAGCUUGAUACUUUUGUGAACUUCCCAAUCCAUGAGGCCAUGACCUCAGUAUGAGCAAAUAUGUCAAGCAGAUGUCGAGAGGUGAUAAGCAGCCCAUGUCUGAACUCUAUGCGCUGAUCAAUCCUAAUGAUGAUCUGGGUGCUGGACACUACUCAGCAUACGCAAAGGUACUUGCAUUUUCGUGUCACUGUUAUAUUAACAUAUUAUAUUUAUAUAUGUUUGCAUUAUUGUAAGUAUUCUUAAUUGUAUAGCUUCCUGAAGCUGCCUAUGGUGUCACUUGCAGCUAGUUGAAGAGGGUAACUGCUAUCAUUUUGAUGAUAGUCAUGCCUCCUCUGCUAAUGAGGAUGGGAUCAGGACGUUUGCAGCACAUGUCUCCUGAAUAUAUGUAGGUUUCUUUGCCUUCAAUAAUAGGUUAGAGGUGAUGGUGCGAUUGAUUUUUGAAAUUGUAGCCUGAACAAUACAUUUUAUGCUUGCACUUGCAGGGAGCUUUUGCAGGAAUCAUUAUUUCUUUUUUAUUUCCAAAGGAUGAAGAGGACUACGAGGAGGCCAAGUUCAAUGCUCCAAUGCUCUUCUAGGCAGAUGGCAUUCACCUCCCAUCCAAUGCUCCAACAGAGUUACUGGACCUGAGACAUUUAAAUAACUCCUUCCUAACGUACAACGGUGUAACCAUGUCCCGAAUAUAUCAUAUACAAACUACUAGUAUUUGCAAGCAAUAUGGUAAUUGCAUACUUGACUCUUGAUCACAUCAACAGAACAUCACUUCCAUUGUCGUCUAGUCCGGUUAGGAUACCUGGCUUUCACCCAGGCGACCCGGGUUCAAAUCCCGGCAAUGGAAUCUUUUUUUUUUUGUUCUCUUUUUCUCAAUUCCCUCAAUCAGACCUCUCCUUUUCUCGUUCAGUAUUUGAUGUUCUUGUCCGUCACAUGACAAAUCUCAGGAAAUUAUUCGCAACAAACAAUUUGUUCUUCUUCUCUAUUCCGUAGGAUUGGGAUAAAUAUGGGCGAACGCAUUGGGCUGGGCUGGAAGGGCUUGACACGGCGGUGCAAUUUGAGCAAUGGGCCGAACAGAGGAGGAACGGCCCACCAGAGUCUCUCGGGACAGAGGAAGGAGAACCCGACCCCGAGUCGGUGUCGGGCAAAUGGCACGGCGGCGCAGUCACCCGCGCUGCACUCGGAACCGGGGACCCGAGUCGGAUUCAGCAAUGGCGUUUCCUCUCUGGCACGCGCGUAUAUAGCUGAGCCUCCACGCCCAACACUUCCUCAUCAGAUUGUGAUCGCUCGCUCCGCCUCGCCUCCUCCGCUCGAUCACCUGCGCGUCGGCGGCGGUGCUUCCCUUUCUCUGUCUGUUGUGUCUCCCCGUCCGUCGCUGAUCCAUGGCCAUACCGGUGGCGCGCGUGCACCUCGCCAUGGCGCACGCGGCACUUCCAGGCCUGCUCCCGUCCCCGCCCAAGCGCAUGAUGCUGCCGCUGCUCCCGGCGCCGCCGUGCACCGCCAUCAUCCUCCCCUGCUCGCCUCCCAGCAGGCCCAGCCGCGCCGAUGCCGUGGAGAGGUGGGACGCGCACAAGAUCAAGAUCAAGCAGGGCGGCGGCAGCCCAGCGUCGCCGCCGCCGCCGUCAGCUGGCCAGUGUUCCUUGAACAGCAUCAGUGGCCCCGGGGGCACGUCCUUGUCCGAGAAGUGGGUGAGCAAGAAGAAGAGCGCCGGUGCCGGUGCCGCGACGUCAUCCUCGUCAAGCAGCAGCAGCAGCAGCAGCAACGGCCGCGCAGACUCCGAGGAGAGGUGGGACGCGCACAAGAGGCCGGCGAGCCCCGCCGCGUCGUCGUCCUCGGCAACAAGCAGUAACAGGACGAAGACGCGCCAAAUCAGCAGGCGCCCCAACGGCGGCCGCGCGUUGUCGCCGUCGUCUGCCGACCGCUGGGACGCCAACAAGAAGCCUCGGGCGCCGCCGGCCGCCGCCGAGCUCGACGACGGCGAGAGCAGUACUGGAAGCAACGACAUGGAGCUGGUGGUGGACAAGGCGGCCCGACGGGCAUUCUACGCUGGACCGGGCUUCAACAGGUCGCCGGAGCCGAGCAUGCUUCCCAAGCCAUCGUUCCUGAGGAUACGCGUUGCCUAGCUGCACGCACGCACGCACGCACGCACGAACGCACGCACGCACGAGGGGAUGGCGGACGGCAAUAGAAUUGGAAAGUUAGCACUUUAGCAGCGCGUGUGUACCCUUUCUGUUGUUGUGUUGUAGUUGCUGCAAAGUAUGUAAUCUUGUGUUGCGUCGAUUUUAUGUAAAUUUCUUCUCCUAUCACCUCUAACAGCAACUCCAAAAACGAAUCUGUUGCCUAGUUAAACAAUCGAAUCCUGGCCCGAAUUUCUGAAAUUCACCCGGUGACAUCCCAAAUUUUUCAUAUUUCGAAUCCAAAAACCCUGGCCAUAAGUCCUUAUAUUUGUUGACAAAUUUGAAAAAUGUGAAGUUCUUACAUUUGUCGACCAAGAGAAUAUGUAACUUUUGAUGUAAUAUGUGGAUUUUCCACAAUAAAUGAUAAGAAAAGUUAAAAAAAGAGACAAACCCAACAUCUUUAUAUGGUCAAGGAAAAUAAAGAUCUAGGUUGAUCAAAAACAUCUAGGUUGAUCUAAAACAUCUAGGUUGAUCUAAAAGUUCAAUCCGCAUGGUAAUGCCAAUAACAGUAUGAGAAACUCCACGGUGGACAUGCUCACACUGAUGGAAAGAACCACUCUGAAUAAGAUUGGUACUUUAGUUUUACAAAUUCUCCACUAUGGAUAUGAGUGGGCUCAUACCUUAAUGCCAUGUAGUGCGGUGUAGGUUGCUAGAUGUGCCUUGAAGACUACAUCUAUAUAUAGGAGCUAUAUGUGUAAUACCAAAUGAAUAAUGAGAAGAUGUAUAGCUCCCUCGUAUACUUGUCUCUUGUGUUCCUUCUAUGGUGGUCAUGUGUAUUAGGGAGAGGGAAACGGGAUCUAUCUACAACUUCUUCACGCCUUGUUCUUGGAAGGGAAUUGGGGAACUGUAUACGCGUUGCCUAGCUGCACGCACGCACGAGGGGAUGGCGGACGGGACGACAAUGGAAUUGGAAAUUCUUUUAGCAAUAGUGUGUGCAUCUUUUCUUGUUGUGUGUUGUUGUUGCUCCAGCAAAGUAUGUUCAUACCCUUGCGUCGAUUUCAUGUAAAUUUGUUCUCCUGUCAUGUCACCUCUAAACUGCACUGCGAUAAUGCUAAUAUCAUGCUUGAUCUAUGCAAGUAAACUCUUUGAUUGAUGUUUGUUUCGAUUUUAGUGUGUAAGUAGAGAUGCUUUUAUGGCGCGUACAUAUUUUUUCAUUAAAAAAUUUAGUAAAUAUAAGCAUUUGAUUCGUAGAUCAAAUUACCUGGGCCUCAUAUACCAACAAAGAAACUUUGUAGAAUGGGAACUUUGUACAAAUUUGGUUAAAUUUUAAAUGGUUUGAUUUAAGAUAAGACUAGAAUAACCUAGCAUGGGACCCAUGUAUAGAAUAAAUGCCGGUUCGACAAUAAAAUAAAUUUUACCGACUUUUUAGGUCUUAAGCAGCAACGAAGAGUUGUGCGGCAUUAGUGGAAAAGGCCUUACCAUCACUGAGCCGAAGUACUUGGUUCUAUAGGUCCGACAUGAUUCAACCUCGCAAGACAACGAUGUCAGAUAGGAUCUACCCUAACAAACUAUCGUAUGUGUUUUCCAGCCCUGAUGGGUAGCGUAUACAUACUUGACUAUCCACCCCCCUCACUCAAAAAUAGUAUCAGGUGCGAAUUUGUUUGGAAACAAUUAAAGUUCCGAUGGCAAAUACUGAAUUUUCUCCUGAGAAGUGCCAAAGUCUUAUUCCAUCCAUACCGUGGUGUUUUCCAGCCCAUAUUGCUAUUUGAUAUGCUUAUCUAGAUCUACCGCAUUGAAACCGCCCCUUCAUAAAAGAUAGUACUAUGUUGGUAGUGGCAACAAAAAACCAAAUGGUCAUCUCAUAAACGUAGAUAAUUUUCACAUAUGAUAACUGAUAAGAUGCAUGAAGUUCUUAUAAAAAAAGAGACAGAAACAUUGUUUUUUUCAGCUUCUACUGCCACGGAAAGGACCACUCCGCGCUAAACACAGCUGAUGAUGGUAUGAUGUCCUUCGUCUUCCCGUCAAGGAACACCGGGCUGCUCGUGCGGCUCCUCAGGUCAUAGAAACCAUAGCUGGGAAGAGGGCUGUAGUCAUCGCAGGCUUCGCAGCCAUAAUCGGGGCACAGAGCUUCCUUGCAACACGUCGGCAGAUCAAUGCCGAGAAAGUAGACACGGUUCCCUUGAAACCUCUCGUCGUCGACGUCGCCCGUCGUUAAGCGAAGUGAUCUGGAGCACCCUCUGCUGACGAAGAGAGCCUGGUCGUCACCCAAGCUGUCGACCUCGAGCCACCGACCCAUCCCCAAAUCCGCCUCGAAGACCUUCAUCUUGAUCCCCUCGAGAACCUUCGCGGCUGUUCCUUCGUUAAGGCGACGAGGAACACUCCAUUUCACCAUCAGCAGCUUUCCGCCGCAAGAUGACACGACGAGGUAGCGCAUCUUGCUGGGACGCUCUUCCUGCAGGUCAGUCGUUGGUGGGGACGACGAUUCUGAUGCCUUGAUGACAUGCUCGUCUUGAGAUUCUCCGGCGAUCUCUCCGUCGAUGACCUCAAGAGCGAAGAGGUCGUCCAUGGCGGUGAGGGCGUAGAGCUUGCCACGGUGGAAGGCGACGUCCUGGUACCACGAGCCGUGGCCACGAGUAUAUGGAGGAAGAGAAGAUAACCACAUGGGAGGACCCAGCCGGUAGCCGUCUGGCUGGGGCGCCAUCAUCUUACGCUUCAGGGACGCGGUGGAGAUGACGGCUGGCGCCGUGCCGCCGCCGUCAUGGAGGCGGCGGCGCGGUGGCACCUUUGUGGCAGCGGCGCCGGCGGAGGAAGCGUUGACGAGGACUCGUGCGGUAGAUGCGCCGUAGAACUCGUACAGGACCCAGCAGCCGUCCAGGGAGCAGAAGCAGUCCUUCAUGUCGGUAGGCGGCCCCACUUCGCCGGCGCCCGUGAAGGCUCGCGGCAGCAGCCUGCCGCGGUCCGGGCAGUCUGCUGUAGAUGGGGACACGUUCAAGCAGAUCCACGGCAGCGCUGGCGGCAGAUGCUGCUGCUCGGCGAGGCCGAGGCGCCACCACUGGCGGCAGACGGGGCCGAAGCUGAGGCGGUCGACGACGUGGGACGGCAGGCGGCAGAGGAUGAGGCCUCCGACCUCCGGCGGGAGGUCCGACCAAAGGGGCACAUGGUCCUGCGGCGAUGACGGGCGUGGUUGUCCUUUGCUCAGGCAGGUGCCCAUUAAUCGAUGCCGAAAAGAGACGAGACGAUGGCAUGGGCAGCCAUGUGGCUUCUAGAUAUAUACAUGACAAACAAACUAGGGCUGCAUCUUACGAGUCGUCGUAUGUAACUCGGACUGCCUAAGAGAUAUUGCUGUUGAGAUUUUGGUUUGGCUGUUAGAGAUAAGAGUCUUGAUGUAACAAUAUUUCAACCGAACCAAAUAUCUCCAAUAUCCUAGGUUGUAAUCUAACCUAAUCUGUUGGGGGACUUUCUCCCUAUAUAUUAUCGAGAUAGGCAACCACGCUCUAUUCUUUUACAUGGUAAUCAGAGCAUCUUAUUCCACAAUACAUCUACCCGACCACUUGACCCAUGCGUCGCCCUCGAUCAGCCUCAUCUUUUGUUCGGAUUUGAGGCUAAAAGAGAUCGAUCUGCUGUUUCAUGUAAACCUAACGUUAGCCCAUAUGGCAACAGACUCCAACCAUAAUAUCUCUCGACGACGGGCGUGGUUGUCCUUUGCUCAGGCAGGUGCCCAUUAAUUGAUGCCGAAAAGAGACGAGACGAUGGCAUGGGCAGCCAUGUGGUUUCUAGAUAUAUACAUGACAAAGAAGCGGGCUUUUCACGGUUAAGGUUAAACAAACUAGGGCUGCAUCUUACGAGUCGUCGUAUGUAACUCGAACUGCCUAAGAGAUAUUGGUGUUGAGAUUUUGGUUUGGCUGUUAGAGAUAAGAGUCUUGAUGUAACAAUAUUCCAACCGAAUCAAAUAUCUCCAAUAUCCUAGGGUGUAAUCUAACCUAGGCCUGGUUUGGUUCGUUUGCUUAUUUUUAAGCACCCGUCACAUCGAAUGUUUAGAUACUAAUUAGGAGUAUUAAACGUAGACUAUUUACAAAACCGAUUACAUAAGUGGAGGCUAAACGGCGAGACGAAUCUAUUAAGCCUAAUUAGUCCAUGAUUUGACAAUGCGUUGCUACAGUAAACAUUUGCUAAUGAUGGAUUAAUUAGGCUUAAUAGGUUCAUCUCGCUGUUUAGCCUCCACUUAUGUAAUCGGUUUUGUAAAUAGCCUACGUUUAAUACUCCUAAUUAGUAUCUAAACAUUGAUGUGACACUUGCUUAAAAAUAAGCAAAAGAAACCAAACACCCCCCUAAUCUGUUGGGGGACUUUCUCCCUAUAUAUUAUCGAGAUAGGCAAUCACGUUCUAUUCUUUUACAUGGUAAUCAGAACAUCUUAUUCCACGGUACAUCUACCCGACCACUUGACCCAUGCGUCGCCCUCGAUCAGCCUCAUCUUUUGUUCGGAUUUGAGGCUAAAAGAGAUCGAUCUGCUGUUUCAUGUAAACCUAACGUUAGCCCAUAUGGCAACAGACUCCAACCAUAAUAUCUCUCGAGCUGUGCGAAUACGUGGCAUGUUAGAUUACAAAAUACGGUUAGCGUUCAAACUCACCUAUUAUCUAUAGUAGGUAAACAAAUCUAUGUUGGACUGGAAUCCGAACGGGGCCGUUCCUAUACUUGGGCCAACGUAUAAUCGUGAAAUGGUUAAACAGACUAUCUCGUAUUCCAUAAUUUGUUCACAGAACAAAAGAACUAUGUAGAAAAUUUGUCGAACAUAGAUUAGCUGACAACAAGUUUACUUAAUAUUUUUUCCCCAAAAUAUAGCUACAUUUAGAGUUCCAAAUUUGUUCCAAAAUAUAACUACUUCUGAGUUGCCAAGCCUGAUUGAAUGGGUCAAUGGAUGAAAAUAACCCAUUUCGCGCUCACAAUUUUGUUUAUUUAGCGUAGAGAUAUAUAUGCAAGGAAAGGAUCACUACCAUAAAGAUCAUGUGUGCAUGCAUGGACAGGUUUAAUGAAUGGUAUAUUAGACCUUUUAUCACCCUCCUUAAUUAAUAUGACUGAAAAUGGCUAGAUGUAGCUAAAAUUGUGGGACGGAGGGAGUAGUUUUAGUUAGCAAUUAGCAUCAUAGGUGGAAUGUGCAUCAAUUUUAAAUUUUAUUCAAGGAAAGCAUUUGUGCAGAGUUUACGGGCAGAUAGAUUCCACAAUAAGAAUUCUAUCCAAGUGAAUUAAAACUAGCCAUGAUGGCUAACUUAAUUUUAUAUGUUCAAAUAAAUAAUGUAUUCCCAAUAUAUAUGCUGUAAAUUUUAGAUGAAUGGAGCUUUAUUAAUAAUAAAAGUUCCCGCCUUUGCAACAAGCUGAUACGCGCAGCCAUUACAAAAGUUGAAGAAAAAGGAAAAUAGAAUGAAACUCAAAGCGCUCUAAACAUCACAGAAUUUCUAACUCAACCUAUCGUCCUCCUAUGAAAAGAAUGUGAUGAACAGGCUAUCUAAAGUAUCUCAAAUGUCACGAGUUAAAUAACAGCACUUAAAGAUGACAGUGACAAAGUGAUAUCAUGGGACCAAAUUGAUGAUCGGUCUUCCCAUGAGCAAAAUUUGACCCUCUUAUUUCCAUAUAAGCCCCAACAAAUUGGAGCACACCUCCUCCUGAACAAAACAACUAAACAGAUACCGAACAUCAGAGGAUAUCUAGCACAAUGUAAUAUCUGCAAAUAAUGCCUCUAGGGAGAGACAUGACAUCAUUGAUGUGCCAUGGCCCAAUUUGGUGUGUUCAAAACACAAAGUUUUCAGCUAGGAAUCCAACCAGCAGUACUUUGAAGAGACUUGAGCAUCCUAAACAAAUAUACUACGAGAGGUGAAACGGAAUCUUUUCAAGAAAUACAUAUAAUGAUUAUCCACGUUCAACAUUAAUGUCAUUGCAAAUGAAAUAGCUGAUUUGGCAUCACUGCAAAACUAAAAAACUGCUGCUUAAUAAGGAUGUAUGCAUCCCUGAUACCGUUCCCUAUUUUAAGCUUACUCUUGUGGCAAGAACCAUUCCAUGCUCCAAAUAGGCCGUACAACCCGCAUUCUGUCUAAGGCAACUUGACUGAUCGUGCCGUUCGUUAGGUCAUAGAAACCGUAGCUUGGCAUGGCAUCAUAGCAAUAUCCGAAGAAAUCAUGGCCCGAAACAUAAACACAGUUCUCUUGAAACCUCGGAUCAUCCCCGGUCAAUCUAACAGCCUUAGAGCAACCCCUGCCGACGAACAGAGCUUGGCCACUGUCCAAGUUGUUCACCUCCGUCCACCAACCCAUCUCCAAAUCCGCCUGAAAUAGCUUCAACACGAUCCCGUCGGUAGCCUUGGAAGAUGAGAAGCUCCAGUAAGGGCCACGAGAAGGGACCAUCCACUUCACCAUGAGCAGCUUCCCUGGGCAACAUACGACGAGCUAGGUAGCGCCGCCGCGUCAAGAGAAGCCCUCCCGGAUUUGCCAUCUCUGGAGGCUGUGCCACCACGAUCGCGUUCUCGACGACGACCUGAGACGCCUUCGGUAUGCCGGCGGCGCCGUCCCCGACCUCAUGAACGAAGAGCCCACCUUUAGCGUUGAGGGAGUAGAGCUUGCCACGGUACAAGGCAAUGUCCACAUACAAUCCCCUUCCAUGGCUAUCCGUUGGACAAGCCGACCAUGAAGGGGCGCCGGGCCGGUAAAACCCCCACCGAGCUGCCCGAGAGGAUCGCGGCUACGAGGUCAGGUGAGCACAUGAUGAUCUUGCGCAUGGGGAAUCUCCUGAUUUUUGUGCCAUCAUCAAGCCAAAGCGGUAUCUCUAUGGUGUUAAGAAUAUGUUUUUUGAGAGGUUAUUUAAGAAUAUAUGUUGAAUGAAAAAUAUGACGUCAUACCUAAUAACUCUCUGCAUCAGAGCGUUUAUUUUUCUUUCUAAAUUAAGAUGUGAGAGAAGGGCGCCGUCCCCUACAUAUGGAGGCCCUAUGCUGAAGUUAAUUUAGGCCCCAUAAUUUAUUUAAUACCUAGAACAUAAAAAUGGCUAUGUAGAUCAAUUCCCCAAUAUUCGUUAGAGUGCGCAGCAAUGCAACCCAGCUUUCUACUCCGAUCCCCAAUAUGGUACUCUGCAGUCACCACGGCCGCCGCUACUUUUUUCUUAACGAACAUAGCAGAAAAAUACAAGAUCACGAUCCUGGAAGACCACAAUCAGGAAAGAAAAAGAAAGAUUAAGAAAAAAAUAACUAAAUGUGACUAGCUGGAUUGGGACAUCAACACGACCACACCACUCUACUCAGGCUACAAGUCCAGCCGGUUGGAUUGGGACAUCAACACGGCGCACCACUCAACAGCAAUACCUAACCAGUUGGAUUGGGACAUCAACACACGCCACACAAAGUAUUGCGCCACUCAACUCGCAGUGGCCCGAUUGGAACAACAACUCGGCUGGAAGGAUGGAAACACCAUACGCUGAUGACCACAGACGAUCCGCUAAGAGGGAGAACCUAGCACCGAGCCGGUCGCCACAAUGCGUGGCUGAUUGCCGCUAAGCCAACAUGCAGUUGCAAACGCACUGCCGUACUCUAACCAGUCAACACUCCACCGAAACGUGCGAACCCCCGAACAUCAACACAAGCUAAGGUUGCGGGGGAAGAGGACGAGAGAGAAGAGAGAUGCACUCGUCCUCACGCAAAACCCCACCGUUUUGACAGCCAAGAGCGCCACAGAGCCGAUGGUGGGCUGCCGAGAAAAAGGCCGGAACAUGAUCUCCAAAGAAACGAUGCUAAAGCGCCGCCAUCGCCCGCCUGAGGACUCAAGCAUGGUUUUCACCCGGAGAAUCCCGUCAGGAAGAGGAGGGCACCUGGACAACACACCCAAGGGGGAAUAUUGCGUCCAUUGAACAUUGCCGGCCCCAGCACGAGGCCGAGCAAGACUUUCGCCUGGAAAGCCCUUCCUCCCACAGCCGCCGCAGCUCCAACGCCCCUAAGUUAAGGCAACACGGUCAGUCACCCACCUCACGCACGACAGCCGUAACAUCCAUGCUGAGCCACCAUCCAUGCGCUCAAGCACGCCCAUCACCAUGCCGGUGAGUCACCACUUGCGGCUGCUAGCCUCGUUUGCCGCUGCCUCCAGAUCCACCUGUGCUGGAAAAGGUGGCCCGGCAAUACCAGCAGCACCACCUUGGUGUCACCAGUGCGCCCCAAGCUACACCACCAUGGCGCCGCUGGAGAGCACCGUACUGACUGCCCCCGGGCGCACCACCAUGGUGCCGCCACCAGUCCGCCCAGGCAUCCGCACCUCCGACCCGCACUCCACCGCAACCUCGCCCAUGGCCACCGCGCGACCCGGCCGCUGGGCAUGACCCACGGUCUCCACACGCCUGCCGGCAGUGCUCCGCGCAGGUCUGGCUCCAGGAGCUAGUGCCGCACAUCGCCUCCAGGGGACCGGAUCCGCCGCUGCCACCGAGCUGUGGUAGCAGACCACAGCCUCGCCGCCGCCUUCCUGCACUCCUCCGCGCGCAUCUUACGUGAAUCAACGUGUGACCGAAUUUUAUUCAACGGAAAUGCAUGUACCUAUGCAAAGUUUGUGACUCAAUUCAGAUGAACAUGUGUUUCACCACAAGAAUUCUAACCCAGCAAAACUAUACUCAGCCAUGAUGGCUAACUUAAUUUUCCGUGAAGAAAAUGUCGUAUAUCACCAAACUAAUUAAAAGUAAUGAACAUACUGACUGAAUACUGUACCAGAGAGGAAAUGGAACAUUUUCAAGAAAUAUAAUUAUUAUCCACGUCAAACAUGCACUAAUAUCUUAACAAAUGAAAUGGCUGAUUUGGCAUCCUUGCCAAGCUGACAACUUCUGUUCAAUAAGGAUAUGAGUAUGAAGCUCUGAAUCACCUCCACGUUUUAACCCUACUCGAGUGGGAAGAACCAUUCCAUGCCACUGACGGGCCAUGCAGCAGCCCGCAUGCUGUCAUGGAGAACUUUAACAAUCUCGCCGUUCCUUAGAUCAUAGAAACCAUAGCUUGGCAUGGCAAGAUGGCAUUUACGGAAGAAGUUAUCGCAGCCCAAAGCGUAGACACGGUUCCCUUGGAACCUCUCAUCGUGACCGGUGAACCUAACAGCCUUGGAGCAACCCCUGCCGACGAAGAGAGCUUCACCGUCGUCCAAGCUGCUCACCUCCAACCACCGACCCUUCUCCAGAUCCGCCUCGAACACCUCCACUGUGAUCCCGUCGAAGUUCCUGGGAGAGGGACGGCGACAGCAAAGAGGAACCGUCGUCCAUUUCACCAUGAGCAGCUUGCCUGUGCACGACACGACGAGGUAGUGGCGCUUCUUGCUAAACUUCUCUUCAGGAUCCACCGGCUGGGGGCUCUGCGCCUUGAUCGCGUGCUCGACGGUGUCGGCAGCGGCGGCGCCGACCUCGUGAACGAAGAGCUCAUCCUCUGUGUUGAGAGCGAAGAUCUUUCCACGGUAGAAGGCAGAGUCCACGUAGUAGGAUCCCCGGGCACCGCGAUCGCCGCCGAUGUCAGACGGAGAGACAGACCAUGAGGGGGCACCGGGCCGGUAAAACGCAACAUAACUGCCUGAUAGAGCGGCGAUGAGAUCAGGUGAGAGCACCAUGAACUUAAGCAUGUAGAGCACGUUACUCUUUGCGAGAUAGCCGAGGUGAAGUGGCAUCUCCACGGUGGCGCCGGUGAGAGGAUUGGUCAGGAAGCACUUGUGGGAGUCGUCGUUGUCGCGGUCGUGGGGCCCGUACAGGAGCCAGCCGUCGAAGCAGCCGUGGCAGGUGACAUCUUUCGCCGGCACUGCGCCGGCGCGGCGCGCCUCGCCGGCGGGAAGGCUUAGGAAGGCGCCGUAGUUGCUUAGGGCCUUCAGGCAGAUGAAGGGCAGCGCCGGCGGCAGAUGGGGACGCUGCUGUUGCGCGGCGAGGCGCCACCGGCGACAGACGCAGCUGAAGCGGAGGCGGUCGAUGCGGCACAGCAGCAGGCGAAGGAUGAGGCCGGCGAGCUCCGGCAGGAGGUUUGACCAUGACGGCGGGGGUCGUAUCCUCCCCAGCCGAUCCAUUAUGCGAUCCGAGGAAGCCGGAAAGAGGCGACACGAUGGUUGUUAUCUUUUGCAAAUCGAUCUGUUAUUAGGUGCGAAUAAUCCGGGCCUAACUUGUUAAUGCAUACGUACUCCUCAACCCUGCUAAUUGACAAUCUUAUGUUACUAUUACUAAUUAGCCUCCGGUGAAGCUACUUAGGAUUCUAGUGGACACUUUAGAAUAAGAGAGAAAUUCUAGACAUUACAUCUUGUCAUUAAUCAGUAGGCUUAAAUCAUCAUAGCCAUUGAACCUAUUAUAUUUUCUAAAAUAUUACCCACUACACCAUUAUGAAAAUAACCUAAAAUAACCCCCUAAAUCCAUAUUUAAAUUACUUACCUCGACCAUUAUAUAAAUAAAUUAAAGUGACCUCCUAAUCUUUAUCAAAAUUACCCACUUCUGCUAUUAUAAAAAUAAUUUAAAAUAACUCCCUAAAUUUGUAACUAAAUUUUCCACCGCUAAUACUUCAAAAAAUAACUUAAAAUAACAUCUUAAAUUUGCAUCUAUAUUAUCAACAUAUGCUAUUAUUACAAAUAACAUGAGGUAACCCUAAAUUUGAAUCCAAAUCACCUUAAUUAAAAAUAUACACUAAAGUAUGAUUCUAAAUCGCCUAUUUGUUAUACUAUUGGUAUAUGAAAUAAUAAUUAAGGUAUAUGCGUUUAUUUAUAAAGAUACAGAGAAAGUGAUGAGAAUAUAGAUUUCUAUGUUAAAACUAUAGCUCAAACUUAAGAUCCGUUAAAUAAAUUCAAGCGCAUAUUUGCGAUGCAAAGUGAAAAGUUAACAAUUAUAAAUGUGGAUGCAAAGCAUAUAUUUGCUUCCCCUCAUCCUCACCUCUUACAUUUCCGUAUUUCAUUUUUGCAACUCGUGUGCCUUUACUUUCUUAGUGUAGUAUCUUACUAGGAUUGGCUCUAAGUUGCAAAACUUAUUUUGGGAUAAGGAUUUCACACUAGAUUAAUCGUAGAAUGAACAUCUAAGUUAAAAUAAUAUAGUUUAUGCUUUUGCAAAGUAGUGGAAGCUAUAUGUUAAAAUUUUAGAUUGCUUAAUUCACUCCCUCUUUCUCUUAAGCUACGAGUACCGGUUCCUUGGAAGCUUGUUGUUGUUCGUGAGAGCGUCGAUCUUGCCACGGUACAGAGCGAUGCCCAAGUACCACCCCCAGCCGCGAGCGUCAGACGGACUCACAGACAGACCGACCAUGACGGAGCACCCUCCCGAGGCCAAGCAUCGCGACGACGAGGUCCGGCGAGCACACGAUGAUCUUCUUCAUGGGGUGCGUCAAGCAACGCCUGGAUAGUCGUCACGGAGGAGGGGUACGUCUGCCACGGUGACUCCGGAGAGAGAGUUGAACAAGGAGCGGGUAGCCUCGCCCUCGGUCCUCGGAUACGUUGCAGUACAGGAGCCAGUCGUCGUAGCAGCAGCCAUGGCGGGUGGUGGCGCGCGGUGAGCCAGCCGCGGGCGGGGUUAUCAACCGGCGGGUGGGCGGCUCGUCGGUGGUGAGGCUCUAGAACGUGCCGUCGUCGCUGAAGCGGAGCAAGGGCGGCGGGGGCAGGCGCCACGCGUGGUAGACGGCCCGGUGUCCAAUUCCAUCCGAUCCAGCGGGAGCCAAGGCAGACAGCGGAGGAUGAGGCCGGUGAGGUCCGGCGGGAGGUCCGGCCAGCGCGAGGAGCCUGCCAUGACGCCACCUACAGCCGGGCAGACAUGAGCCAAUGGCGAACGUAUCUGUUUGGUGUGAACUUCGUAUGUAGAAUCCGGAGGUAAUCAAAUCAGCGUGCAUCAUGGUAAUCCGUUUCGUGCAUGCAUGCUGCUGGGCCCGGUGUCCAAUUCCAUCCGAUCCCAAUCUAAUUUUGGCAUCCCCCGGCGAACAAAAUGUAAUGGGCCGAAAUGGGUCUGCAACGGUCGGCCCACAGCCCACGAGAUUAACUGGUUUCUUUCCACUGAAAAUGACCGUGUUGCCCCCAUCCGAUCGAUGGCCUUAUUAACGCUGUUCUUGCCUUAUCUUUCACAACAAGGUUCACAUACGGUUCUUGUAGUUGUAGCCCUAGGCGGGCGUGCGUGCGUGCGUGCGUGUGUGUGAUGAUGAUGAUGCAUUGAUGCAAGUACGGAAGCAAUUUUGAAUGGUGCUUAUCUUUUCCUGUGAUUGGUCUAGGAGCGAUAUUGGCGAGAUUUCUCUCGGAUGAUGAUGCGAUCUAUGAAGAAAAAAGGUCUACAGUCUGUGCCUUUUUUAACUUUGUGCUUUUUACUCUUGUUUUCCUUUCCAAAUGAAUCCCAGGGAGUACAUAGUGUUAAUGUGUUGCAACUUGCAAAACAUAUACAGCGGUAUCUGGAUUGGUGCAUCAAAAGUUUCAACCGAGCCAGCAACAUGCAAUAAUUAUCUAUGCGCAUGCAAAAUUUAAGCUUGGAUAAAAAGAAACAUGUGCAAGGAGAAACUAGCACGCGUAUGGUUGUGCAACUCGACCCACUAUUGCUCAUACGCUGAUUUCUCUUUUGUUUCUCCUUACACAAAUUUUGAAGAGCUUCGCUACUCUAAAGUGUUUUCAUGGGCUGCAUUUUUUUUUAAAGUGAGCUGAUGUGAAUUUGUACAGCGGCAUGUGAAAUUGUUCUCAUUUCUUAAGUGCCAAAUGCAAAGUGCGAGCUCAUCUUUCCUACCUCUUCCUCCGGCACGUCCUCUUUUUUUCUCCCUUCUUUUCCUACUGUUGCGGCAGGAGCGGGGAGCUCGAGCCCCGCAACACACACCUCCACCCACAUCUAACAAUGCCUCUUGUUGUACUACAAAAUUAGAGGUGAUGAAUAUCGUAAUACAAGGUAUCCCAUCUUUAGGAAAUGGACUUAGUGGUUUAAGAAAGUUCUGGAAUAUCUCAUCAUGAACUGACACAUAACUCCUAUCAGCUAAAUUAAGGGCAAGAAAAUGAAAGGCCUACCCGGAGACACGGCAAAUGAACCUUAGUCCACUAUGCAAGCAAAGGUGAUGGGCCCUCUCGAGGUUUUAGACCGCCAACUAGUGAUUAUACACCACGCUCUCCUCACUUUCGAUGGCUAGCACACAAGAGAUAAAGGAGUUAUACUGGUUUUGGAAGAUCCCUACGUCCAAUUUCAGCAUGAGUCAUGUUCCUUGGAUCGAGUGCACAGGGCUUACAACCAGAUGCUUACAAGAAAGCAUUCAUGUGAUGUGUAAGAGUAUGCGUUGAAUGCAUGAUUGAGAGCAAGGAGGCCUGAUUUCCCUUAUAUAGACCAGGGACCGGGCAACAAACGUUGACAAAUGGAGGGGGUCCCCGACCUCGAAGGUUGGGGGUCGUGGCGUGGUCGGAGUAGUCUUGCACCAAGGGACCUCCUUGCCCUGUCCUCUUGACCAGUCGUGGGCUUCACACGCCCUGUACGACAGCUCUUGUGCAGCGUGGGCUGCUUACGCACGGCCUGACCUGCUUCUGCAGCAUGUCCCGUCCCGUCUGCCAACCCCGUGCUAGUGAACGGGACGGAAGAAGCUGCUGACGUCCGCACCGGAGAUGAGUGGGUGAGUCUCGAUCAGCGGCCUGAGCGAGGCAUGCCACUUCCCUCGGCUUUCCCCGACCUGCCCACGGCCAAUCCACGCCGUUACGACUGAUGCUAGGUCCCGCCUCGUCUGCGGGCUCGUACCGGGUCUGGCGUAGUGGCAUGACCUUGAGCAUGACGGGUUGUCCUGGCGGUGAGGAUAAUGAUGACUUCAGGGUGCAUACAGCCGCGCGUGGCAUUGUCAUGCAAAUCGUCCUGGGCAGUUCAAAGGGUGUAGCCUCACCCUCAAACCCCUUGGUUAAAGGUCGGCUCCCUCCGCCAGAUCAUGUCCCCGCACAGGGCGGUCAGAGAGGCCACGCCCUGCAUUUAAUGCCCCCGGUACGGUGUUGGUCUUCCUGAGUCAAGGAGUGGGCGGGGCGCUAUGGGCCUCUUGCGGGCCCCGCCCCCGAUCUGGCUGGAUUGGUGGCUGUGGCCCUCAGCUCCCGACCAGGGGAGGUCGGGAGGUGGGCCAUGGUGUUUCCUAGUCCACCCCCAACAUAAUUCUAGCUGUUGGGCCAUUAGGUCCCGACUAUAUAUACUCGGAGUAACUCAAUAUAGUAUCAGAUCUAAAGGACUCGAGUUCAAAUUCUAGCAGAUGCAAUUAAAUAAAAUAAUUGUAGCCGAUUCCAAUUUCCACAUAUGCUCCAAGGAAGCUGAACGUGAGGGGGGUAUAAGUUAAUCGCCUAGCUCUGUCUAUCAUUUUAAACCUUUGGGUUAAAUUGUUGGUAAAUGCAGGUAAUAGAUUAUACAUUGCAUGCAAAUUAUUAUAAUCCGCUACAACAUAAGAUGUAAGGUAUUCGGACUUGUAGUCUAAACAAUACGGCUAUAUAUAGAUCUUGAUCCUCUGGCCACGGAACACAGAUGCUACUCGAAUCACUCGGAUACGAGGCUAAUUGCAGGCCAACCUAUUGCUGGUUUCCAUGUCAUUGCGGUUCUGGAAGCGACCAAUUCUGAGCUCCUACUUGCUGGGUUUCUGGGUCUGGUCGGCUACCUGUUUCCUGGAGAAAGCUAGGCAACAGCAGGGUAUGGCCGCCUAACUCGCUAGUGCCUUUGACACCACAAGGAAGCUAAGGAAGACCCCGAUUCCUUUUGCGUCUACGUCGUGUAACUACAGCAGCAAGAAUCCCUGAAUUCCUGAUGGAACGUCUUGACAUCGUCCAGCGGACUCUCUCAAAAAAAACUUUGAAGCCAGCCAGUGUUGAGUUGAAGUUGAGAAGCCAGCAGAAAGAUUUUGCACGUAUAUGUGUUCAUGAUGCUUUUACCUGACCCUUGGAAAUCAAUGUCUACUGAUGGAAUCUGGUAUGAACGCGAGACCACAAGUGUAUGCACGCGUGUACUUGCACGAAUCGUAUCGUACGAGCUUAGAAAGAGAGCAGAAGAACACAGAAUGAUCCGAACUGGCGGUCUAACGAUGGUUACAGGACAGCAACCACGAUAGUUUAAGUUUCCAAUUCCUUGGCGAUGAUCGAGACUGGACUACUGGAGAGCGGUCAGAAUGCAUCGCCUGCCUAAUAAUCAGAUGGACCAUGGGGAUCAGUUCACACUUGAGACUUGAGAGUGUGGCGCAGGGCAGAGCGCGCGAGCGAGCGAGGUCAUUCACCAAACCGUGUGCAUUUUUCUCAGGAUCAUUCUCCACAUCUGGAACUGGUAAGAGAGUGGAUCUUUUGACUGGUUGACUCCAAUAAUCCAAGAUUGUGCUCGUCCGUACAGUCCGUGUGCAUAAUUUGGCCGUCACCUAGGUCUAUCGUCCGGUCGGCAGUCAGCACAUCUCGCCGCUAAUCCAUACAUGGUUUGAGUGACAGAUAAACUAAAAAUCAUGAAUUAAUUAAGUUUAAUAGUAUCUUUCACGAAUUAGUUUCCAUUUAUGCAAUUAGUUUUGUAAUUAACAUAUAUUUAAUACUUCUAAUUAGUAUCUAAACAUUUGAUGUGACAGUGAGUAAACUUUAAUCCUGGAACCAAACACCCCCUGUCAGCCCGUCAGCCGGAGCUCUCUCUGCUGGCAACUGAAAGCCUGAAACAAAAGAGAGUCAAAACCCUUCAUCUCAAAGGAAUCCAACACACGUCCCCUGAAGCCCUGACGGUGACGCCUCUGAAUUUCCUGCAGCUGUUUUUAUUUCAGGGCCACUCUGAGGAACGCAGGAUUCUCAUAACACAGAGAAGUAGGAAAAAAAACACGGGAUCCGGGAUGAACCUGCUUGAAUUCAAGACAGGGAAACGCAUGGCGCCUAGCAACCGUGCGACUACAGGCGACGUGCUUACGCGCGCUCAGCUCGUCGCCAAAAAAACCGCGUUAGUUUCUCCGUUCGUCCAGGAGCGGCGGAGACCUGUCAGUCUGGUGGUCGCUCCUCUCCUGUCGCUGCCUGUCGCACUGUCGCGGCGAUCGAUCCAUUCAUCACGCAGCAAGCUCUCUUACUGUUGACGACGUCUAACUCUCCAGUACCGGUUGUGCAACUCGUAUUAUUAGUUCGGUACUAAAUGGGGAUUUUAAGUACCGAGUCAAAUAACCUCAGUCUAUGAUGAUGGCUUAGGUAAGAGCAAGAAGACGAUGGAUUUAUAGGAGGAAAGUUAGUACUGGGUGAACCUCCACCCGAUACUAAUAUGCAAACUUUAGUACUGGUUGGAGCUCACAAUCGAUACAGGAGGUCACGGGUUCUGAAAAACUAACCAUUGAACCCGGUAUUAUUACUAGGAUUAAAAAUGGGGGCUCCCAUUAGUAUUAGGCCUAGUAACAAUGCUCGGUCUUCCGGUAGUCAUCGCAGACCGCGUCCCGGCUGGCGAGAGCGAGGAUAAACUUUGCCCCCGUCGCGUUCGCGUCAGGUAGCAGGCAGAGAGAGACUGACAGACGGGUAUAGUUAGUUAGCUAGACCUCGCACACUGGGGUCCUCCCUCCGAGCUUAUUAGUUAAUUAAUGGCUCGUUUCAUACCCGGAGCAAGCUAAAGCAACGAGCUGAGCUGACAGCGACGCCGAGGUAGAAGACGACGACGACGAGGAGCAGGAGCAGGUAGCCGCGCGACCGUCGUCAGUCCAGUCCUCUGUCCUCCACUAGGGCUCCCCUUUCUUCCUGACCCAACACGACAGGGCCGGCCACCAAGAAGAAGCCCGCAGUUACACUCGCUAGCAGUGUCGUCUACCAUCAGUAGCUUUGCAUCAGCUGCAGCAGUGAUCCGUUAUCAUUUCGUUGGCGUCGUCUGAAAACUUCAGCGCAUUUGCCGCUGCAUCUGCACGCAGCUGCUAAGUAAAAACUCCUCUCGAUCGCGCUCUGUCCAUGUCCAAUCAUUGUAGGCCGCAGCUAGCGCCAAGUGGAUCUCUGUGCGUCUUUGUUUGUUGUGGCCAGUGCUGCGUAGAUGCAGAGCAUUUGGGUGAUCGGGUCGUGUGACCAGAUCUUCUUCAGAAGAUUAUGUUCUGCUCUUCAGUGCGCUGAAAUUUCUGGGCAGGUAAUGGAAUUAUGCGCAUGAGGAUGCGUGGCGAGGAGCUGGAAGUGAAACGCAUCUGAUGCUUGCUUUGCUGCCAUGUUGCUGCUGGACUUGAAGGAGGGGGGCCGAUUAUUUGUGCGCAACCAGACAAGGACAACCAGUGUGUUUGCCAUUCCCGCGACCGCUUGUUCGUUUCGUCAGUAAACGUGUACCCGGCGUCCCGGCCUAUCCUAUUGGUAGCAGAACGAAGGGCUCCAAAGUAAAUGUUACUGUAGGAGUACGUCAGAGCUCGAAGCCAUGCAUGUGUAUUACACGGAGGACCGGCGGUUAAACUUAAAACCGCGCACUUGCGAGCACGUGAUAGCAGCGUGAUUCACUGACUCUCUGAAUACACGAGGAGUAUAAUAUACUGAUUCUUUUCAGUAUCAAAAGUACCUAAUUACUGGAUGUUGUUCUUUAUAAUUUUGUAAGUUAUUAAAUUUAAAAAAAUUGUUCCAGAUCCAAAGUUCAUUUAAGAUAUCACUCCAGGCCUAGAAUCACUUCACUAUAAAAUAUCAUUUAACAGAGCUUCUAGAAUCAGCCUAGCAACUGCUCUGCAAGCUCUGCUAAACAGAUCCUGCACGGCAUGAACCAAAAGAAAAGGUGGCUUCACACACUGGCGUCUCCUCCCUCCCAAGUACGAAUUAUCCUUAAAAUAACCAGCAUUGCUACUGAAAAGUCAUUUGCCAAUUAUUUUUUAAAAAAAAAGUAUUUUAUCUCCAUAAAAAAAAUCUUCACCACCAAAGAUAGAACCAUAGUCAUCUCGGCAUGAGUGACCAAGUAGCAUUAGCGUCCUAUCAAGUCAAUCAGUGUCUCCUGGGUUUAUCUGCCGCAACAAGUCUCACAUCUCAUUAUCUUAGAAAAUAGGCAGUUGCUAUUAUUAGUACAAGUUUGCAACUUCGGCAUCCACAUGAAGACAAGAGUGCGAGACCUUGAUCUGACUCUUUGAUCGUCACGACAUGCAUGAUGAUCUUGUUAAUUACUACGCUGUCGUUAGUUAAACAAUGCAUGCCCUGGCCUGGUUUGAGGUACUCCUAUCCUGUAUCAGACAGCGUGCACGGAUUGGUGAUGGAUCGACUCGGUUCGCCGGGCUCGUCGUCGUCGUCGUGUCCCAGAUGCCAUAUCUCGACCGGUUCGUGCAACUAGUACAGCAGCGCCCGCGUUACGGCUAAGUAAUUAAGUUUCCUUGACUCCGAGUCAACCCGGCCGGCCGGUCCCACACGUGGUCUCUUUCCUUUCCGGGCCAAGAUUAGACUUCUUUUCUAGCUCCUUUCCGUAACGAGCUGUGUGCUCAGUUAGCUUGUUUGGCUCGACGGAUACGACUAUCACAAACUCGAGUUCAACAAUGAAAUUUGGAAUGGUACCAUUAUAUGUGAUCAAGCUCAGCUUGCUAUGCAACAUAUACAAGUCCAUCCUUUGGCAAAAUUCAUGCCGAGUUCCAUUCGUUUCUAUUAAACUUCUUUUGUAUUAAUGGACCUUUGUUAACUAAGUUUGGUGAUUUUCCGGACAUCAACUUGGGUUACUGUUUUCGAUAUUCUCCGCAGGCUUAAUUCCUGAGAUUUUGUUUGGGUCACGGCAAUAUUAAUUCUCGAGAAACGCUAAAACACCAGCAGAUGGAUUCAGCUCCAAUCGUGCCCUAAUGUUGAUACCACCUCUGAUUUUAUAAGAACCGGAAUAUAACAAUAGUGUAUAAUUUUGUUCAUUAAUUCCACCAUUCCAAAUUAAAAUUCAAUUAGUUUUAAUUUGUCCUAAGUCAAAUUGAUAAAAAAAAUAUAUGAACAUAUAUAGUACCAAAUAAAUGCUCUAUGGAAAACAUAUUUCUUGAUGGAUUUAGUGAAAGUGAUAGGAUGUUGCAGAUACUAAGUGGUACAUUGUGGAUUUAGUGAAAGUGAUAGGAUGUUGCAGAUACUAACUGGUACAUUUUUCCUAUGAAAUUCGUCUAAGUUACAUAAGUUUGAUUUAGGAUAAAAUCAGAAUGAACUAUAAUUUAUAACAAAGGGAGUAGGGCUGAUAUAUUAGUCAGAAAUAUGUUUUUAAUAAAAUCACGUCAACAUCCAUGUCAGUUUCUAUUUUUAUGUUUACCAAAAUGAAUGCUUGUUAUUUUUCCGUUAUGGCUAAUUAAGUAGCCUUGACUCCGAGUCAACCCGGCCGGCCCACACGUCCCUUUCCUUUCCUUUUUUUUUUGCAUAAUCUGGGUUCAAGCAUGCCAUCACUGCUCAAAACGGAGCAAGCGCAAACCCAACGGGAUUACUCUAUGUCCUUCCCCAAAAUAAAAUGAUUUAUUUAUUUUCAUUUCUUUGGCGGUCGGCAGGGGUGGAAAAUAAGGUCAACACUCGUCAACAAGCUUGGCUUAGACUUUUUCCACAAACUGAACCAAGCCAAUAUUACACUUCUUUUCUACCUCCUUGUUCAUAACGAGUUGUGUGCUCGGUUAGCUUGUUUGGCUUCAUGUUGAGUGAUAUACUGUCUAGUAUACGUUCUUUUUUUCUUAAUGAAAUAUGUUUUUCAUAGAGCAUUUAUUUCACGGUGGAUUUAAUCCAGGUGAUUGGAUGUUGCAGAUAUUAGUGGUACAUUUUCCCUAUAAAAUUGGUCUAAGUUACAAAAGUUUGAUUUAGGAUAAAAUUAAAGUGAACUAUAAUUUAUAACGGAGGGAGUAUGGCGGAUAUAGUAGUCAGAAAUAUAUUUUUAAGAUCACGUCAACGUCCACGACAGUUUCUAUGUAUUAUUAUUUUUUACCGAAAUGAAUGGUUGUUAUGUUCUUCCUUUUGCGAUAAUCAUAAGAUCUUAUAGACAUGGAAUUCAUAAAGUAGAUUAUAAUCUAUUGGUCACAAUGAUAGGAUCAAGCAAGUGUGCUAGCAAACCAUGUUCGACUUUCAAUAAUAAUAGUGAAUAUGAUAUUGAUCUUGCUUUUGAAGAGAGGUAGUACAGGAGAUGAUAUUAUUGGCUCUCUAAAUUUAUGUUAGCAUUGAUGAAAGGGCCUAUCGUGGGCCAUGGCCUCUGAUUCUGUUUGUAUACUAAAACAGAGAGAGCAGUGAGCUUACCGCAUGGCGUACGCCGGAUGUACACGAGACAGUGACUGCCCUCUACUUCCAGCUGGCUGCGUGGCAAAGAGUCGUGGUCGUCCCCAGUUCUUGGUCAAGGUCAACGCUGGAACGUACGCGCCCAUGGCCGGGCAUGCAACUUCUUCAAAGUUUCUCCUCGUCAAUCUUCUCCCCGAAGCGUGAGGGAGGUAGUAGCCACCGGACUCCCUCCCUCUAUAAAUAGGACUGCUCGAGUUCUGAUUUGCGCGCUAUUGUUAUUAUUAUUAUUAUUUACACCAGAAAGAGAGAGCGAGAAUCAAAAGGAGCACGCAGUAGUAUAUACUCUUGAUUGAUCAGGAGCAAUUUGUUGGAGGAAAUAAGAUCGAUCGAGCUCAUGCUAUUGCAGAGAACAAUGGGAAGUGGAAGUAGUAGCGAUCCGCCGCUCCCGCCGGGGUACCGGUUCUACCCGACGGAGGAGGAGCUGCUGAGCUUCUACCUCCGCCACCGCCUCGCCGGCACCAGGCCACAAGUCGAGCACUUCAUCCCCGUCGUCGACAUCUACAGCUACCAUCCCUCCGAGCUCCAGGGUUAGUCGUCGUCCUAGUUCAUCGAUCUCCUUCUUUCGAUCGGAUGAUCACGAUGACUACAUAUAUAUAUGAUGCGCAAGAUUUCAUAUACUAUCGAUGCAUGCAGCGAUGGCCGGAGUCGCGAACGUGGGCGACAAGGAGCAGUGGUUCUUCUUCUGCCCGCGGGCGGAGCGGGAGCUGCACGGCGGCCGGCCGGCGCGCACCACGCCGUCGGGGUACUGGAAGGCCACGGGGUCGCCGUCCUACGUCUACUCGGCGCCGGCCAACCGCGUCAUCGGGGAGAAGCGCACCAUGGUCUUCUACGAGGGCCGUGCCCCCACGGGCAACAAGACCCGCUGGAAGAUGAACGAGUACAAGGCCGCCGCCGACGACUGCAUCGCCACCGCCUAUGGCGCGCCGCCGCCGCUGGCUGCAGGGGCGCCCGUCAGGGUACGUGCCGCAUGCGAUGUGGCUGUGCAUUAAUGACGAUGGUAAUUAAUUAUGUAUUGAUAAUUAUGGUCACUACUGAUCGGCGUGCAGCUGCGGAACGAGUUCAGCGUGUGCCGCGUGUACAUCAGCACCGGCACGCUGAGGUCCUUCGACCGCCGGCCGCUCAACCCGGCCGGCGGCGUCGAUCAAGCUCUCCACUGCUACCAACAGCAACAAGUACUGGCACCACCCGCCGCGGCGGCGGCGGCGGCGAGCCAGAUGCCUGCAGUCGGCGUUGUCGCCAACGGGCAGGCGGCGGAGAACUCCCACGACAGCACGUCAUCGGAGUCUCGAGGGGUCGUCGUGGACGGAGCUGAAGAAGACUCCGGCGCCACGGCCAUCGACUGGGAGUCGCUGGCUGAUCUCCGCUUUAGCGUCGUCGAUGACUUGAGCCGUGUCAUUAAUUGGCCCUCAAAUUGACACGCCUCGUGCUUAAGCUAGCCUCCUAGGCCAAAUUAAUCAGAUGAUUAAGAACUACUGAUUGGAUCAGUAACGUGAUUAACAAAGGUAGAGUGCGUGCUAAACCUAAAGGGAAGUAUUUGAGGUGUAAGUUCAUUAGGUCAGUGCUGUUGCUAUGCUAGCAGAUUAGCCUGCUGGACAAGGAAGUACUAGUUAUUAGCCAGUUUUGGUCCUAUGUUAAAAUCCACUUGGGAAUGAAUAAAGUUUAAAAUCCAGAACCAACCGUGGCUCAAAUCAGAAAACUUCGGAAUUUCAAAACAAAACAUGCUGCGUGCGUGCAUGCAUUUUAGCUCGUGAGUGAUGUUCAACAUUGUUGGGCUUUCUGGUAAAAUAUUUGGGCGACAACUUUUGGGCCUCCAGGACUCUAUGCAUUCAUUAAAAAAAACAAUUGGAGCCCAGUUUCAUGUCAUUUCUGCUGGGUUAUCAUGGUCCACACGGCCUGAACAAGGUGCAGUGCAGGAGGACAUCUUGCAGCGUUAUUUUGCGGUGUAAGUUGGGCCGAAAACAUUGAGGGGGGGUGCUUGGUUCCCUUGCGUCUUAUUCUCCUGCCACCUUAUCACUCAUUUAGCUAUAAAGUCAGUCCAGUUAUAUUUUAGCUUUCUUUUUUUUUUCUUUCUUUAGUGUUUUUCCAUUUGAUGGUGCAGUAUUGGUUUUUGUUUUUAUUAUUUUUGCUUUUGGCCAUGGAGCUUAUUUACUUUUAUGUUUACUCUAGGAGUUGAAUUCCAUGUGUAUAUUUUUUCCCGCGGACCCUAUGAUUUGUUCCGUAUAUAGUUUUGUUUCUCUUGAACAAUGUUUUAUUCUACGGUUCGGUUCCACAAAAAAGUUGCUCUGUACCAUCGAAGCCAAAACCAAAACCAUUUUGUAUGGAGGCCAAAGCCCUACAAAACAUAACCUAUGAAAAGUUGCUAAGCUCUAACUAAUAAUAAUAUAAUAAGUUAGCUUUCUAUUAUCUCCUACGUUAGAUAAAGAUGACUAUUUUAAGUUUACAGAUAAUAAAAAUUUAAAACAAACGAUUCAACUAGACUAUAAUCCUGGUAUAAAAUUGUUCCCUUUUUAUUUAAAUCUGUUGGUAUUCAGAUUGUUCCUAUUUUUUUAUUAAAUCUACCUUAUUAUAAUCUUUAGCCCAUUAUUCAAAUAAGCCAUGAGCACCAUCGCAUCAUCCUUUUCUUUCCUCCUCCUUAGUUCUCCCCUCCAACAACACAUUCACUAUAUACGUGCAGCUGGCUUAAAAAAAGGAGGGUCAAGGCCCAAAUCAAUUCGACGUAUGACAUCGAUUUUAGCUCACGAGAAAGUAGCCAUGGUAGACAACAUAUGACAUUUCCUCUUAAGUAGAGGCAAAAUUCAGUUACGACCAAAAGGGUCCAUAUGCCCCCUUGUCCUUCAAAUUUGCAAACCCUUGGAGAAUAUAGUAUAGAGAAGAAACUACCGAGCGAAGUCUCUCUCGUUAGGAUAAGAAUCACUUUCCAUGUUUAAUCUACACCAAAAACGCAUUGUUCUUUUCCAACCAUGAUAGAACAUUCCACUAAUCCCAUCCCCAUCUCUCUACCCAAAUUUUUGCCCAUAUCAAGAUCACAGCAUAUUUUCUUUCUGGCUCACCACGCUUAGCCUAGAAUAAAGUAGUUGGCUGAUAAAAAAAACCAGAAAACUUAUCCUACAACAUUCAUGAGUUGACUCCUAGAGCUGCAAAUAUGGUGUUGCUGCUACUUUUCAAAAUGAACUCAAGCCCACUCAAGCCCCUAAAGGUUGUAUAGCUGGAUGCAGUAAUUAUAUAGUUCAUUUGUAUCCUUGAUCACAAUUUGCGGGAAGUGGAUCUAAAGGGGGACUGGAAGGGCUCUAGCCCCACUACUGCCAAGAACUCCAUUGGAACCAAGGGAAGAGGAGGAGGAGGAGAGAGGAGAAAGAAGAAAAGGAGGAAGAGGAGGUGCAGAUGGAGGAGGAGGAAGAAGCAACCUCCAGGUAAUUUGGGUGCAAUUAUUUUUAAAUGUAAAUGUCUACAGGGCCGGGGCAGCUCUUAUUUGGAGGGGGGUGUUGUCUUUUCUAAGGUAGAUCUCAAAAAGGGCAUGGCUAAUUUAUAGCCCGCUAUAAGGUCUGUUCGGGAAUGCUCCGUUCCAGAAAAAUAGCUCCACUCCACCAACUCCACCUUCCUUCACCUCCACUCCACCAAAUCCACGAAAACAUGGAGCCGUUGCGCCUGCUUGGCAAAUGAGCAGACUCCAGCUCUAGGAACAUAAUAUUUUUAUGUGCAUUGUCUAUUGUACCCCUGUAUUGUGCGAUCCACACAUCAGUGUACAUUGAAGACUGGAUUGCGUGGAUUUGCCAGUGUGCCACUCCCCCAAGUCCAAACUCGCAUGUUGAAAAUGGACUCUCUAGGGAGCUGGAUCUGAUUAGGAAUCCCUUUAUGGCUUCAUAUUGUCCUUGGUAUAGUCGUAGCAUCUGCUUGUCUGGCAGUAGUAUUUUGCUGUUGGUUCUGCUGCUGCCGCAGCCGGCGCGGGGAGGUCGAGGGGCACGUGGCGACGAGGAGCAAGAUGGGCUGGCGCGGGACUGAGGACCGCGCGGCGGCCAUUGGCAGGACGAGCAAUCGCGGGGUGGCAGAUAACAACCUUGAGUUCCUCGGCUCCACAGAGGGCGCGGCGACCGCCGCGGCAAUAAGGGUCGAGAUGGGGUCUGCGUCAUCACCGUCGGCUUCUGUGUCUAGUGCAACGCCCGCAACCCGCGCGGCGAAGAAGGCCGAGGUGGCAUCGCCAUCGUCGCCGUCGGCUUCUGUACACCGGACUCCACGGCACAGCACCCCCGCGAGGGAGCAGCGAGCGGCGGCCCCCGCGUGGAGCGGUGAGGGCGCCCGGGGCAACCCCGCCACGACGUCUGGUGGCGAGGCGACCCCCGCUAGGGAGCAGCGAGCGGUGGCCCUCAGCGACGGAGGCGUAGCUGCCGCGUCUCCUGGCGUGGCUCCCUACCUCUGAAUACUAAUGGCAGCGGCGACCCCUGAUGCAACGGGACUUGGCUGGCGGCAGCGGUUAGGGCGGCGACGGGUGGGACGACGGCGCGCGACAGAGGACGACAUGUCGGGCGACGGUGACCCGACCACGGAUGGCAGGGCGGUGCGGCCAUGGUGAACAGGAAAGAAAGGAAGGGGGCGACCGGAGGAAGGGAGUGACUAUUUUGUUCUACAAACCAGUAUAUUGUGUAAUCGGUAGCAUGGUGGGUAAUUAACCCCCAAUUCCAAGAGAAGCUUUGAAACUGAAGUUUUCGGAGCACCCCUUGAGGUGCUACAGAAAAAUCUUAGCGUUGGCCCCUAGAUCCACCUUUUUUCUGGAACUGGUGCUAAUGGAGCUAGAGAUUUUUAGCAACAAGAAUCUAGAGUGGAGAUGCAAAACUUGGAACGGAGCAGUACCAGACACGCCCUAAAUUAGAUCAUCGCAUAGCCACCCUUUUUUGGAACCGGAAGCACCAUCCGUCCACUUUUACUACUCUGACACUGAUAAAAACCUUUGUUGUUGUUGCCUUUUUGGACAGGCAGAGACAACCAGGCCGUUCGGCAGCUGCUUGGCUGGCUGCGCUGUUGGCUGCUGAUUCUGGCUACUGGCUGCUGCUUAUAGCUGUUGGCUGUAGCUACUGCUUUGCAGCUGCCUGCAUCUAGCUGCACUGCAUCUACACACAUAGAUAUAGAACAUUACAGUGAGGCAACAACGAGGCAUCCAGUGCCAUUGCUAGGGUUUGUUUGCUCGAAUUCCACUACCUGGCUACCUAAAUGUCAAAAUUUGCUAUCACUACCUGCAUGUACCCAUUUUGGCAUAGCCAUCAGUCAUUACCAACAUCUAUGCAAACUUGUAUAGAACCAAAAUCCAAAACCAGUCAUACCGGUUAACUACGUCAACGAGAUUCCUACCGCGAUCCAAUCUCGUACACUUGCCACCCAUGCAGACACAACGUAAUCCGAAGUUCAUGCCAUGUUCCUAUCUGCAGUACUUGCAUCGGCACGGUGCAACAAAUAAUUGUGGAGUGCAAAGCAAGUAAUAAUGAUCUUUAUUUGCCUCUCUCGAUCAUAGAAUGGUACUUCUCGGAAAAUAUGCCACCUCGAUUUGAGCACGCCAAAUGCUCGUUCCACAAUAUUGCGAAGACUCGAAUGGUGGAAGUUGAAUUUCUCCUCCAAACUUUCAGCCGCUCUGCGGCAGAACUCCUCUAGAUGGUACCUCGUACUGUGAUAUGGCCCCAGAUAGCCUUCAUGAACUGUGUAACCCGAGUCCACCAGAUAGUACCUUCCUACACAACAUCAAAUAUACUUACCAUUAGUGCAACACUUUUACAAUUGUUUCUUCAAGAGCGUAAUUAGCCAACUAACAUACCUGGAGAUGGAUGUGGGUAAUUUGGUGUCUCCAUACAGUCCCUCAACACCGCCAUGUCAUGACUGGACCCCGCCCUCCCCGCUCCUACAUAUGUGAACCGCAUGUCCAUAUCCACUAUAGCUAACACAUUAAAGCUUGACCACCCUUUCCUAUUAAUAAAGUCCAGACGUGACUCACGCCCGAUUUGUACGGGAACGUGAGUUCCAUCUAAAGCACCUAAGCACCCAUCAAAGAACGGUGCAUAUGGGUUGAGCCUAUAAUUAACCAUUGAGUAUGACGGGUCCUUUAGAGCGAUAACCGUCUGUGCGAAUGAGAACAUGACAUCUGCCACAUGAGCCAUAUUCCUACUAACUGUGUCCAAUGACCGCUAAAAUCUAUCUCUAAUCUGUCUAGAAGCCUGUUGUGUCCCACAAGCCCAGACGGACAUAGCUAAAGCCUCGAUAGAUUCGACCCCUUGUGUUGAUUCCAGCCCAUGAUAAUUAACUAAGAUAUCAUGCAACUGAAGGAAUACGUCAGGAUACAUACGAAAAGUGUUGUAGCACCUCCAGCUUUCCCGCAUAUUUAGCUCAACCCAUUGACGUCUGGUCAUUUGUGGCAACUUCAUGGGUGGGUUCACCACAGAAGCUGGACUUUUGCUCGCAGCUGCAUAUGCUGCUAUAGCUACUGCUACCCCCGCCAGCUGGUAUACGAUGGAGCUAACAUCACUACCAGUGUUCACUGUUUGAUUCCUCAACGCUGCUCAUAAUGGAAGCAACCUGUGCACAGAAUAGAUAUUAAUGGUUCAGUCAUAAGUCUAUAAAGUAAAAGUUCCACCACAAGUUAUAGAACAAACUCUUUCAAACCUGUCAAUAUGGCUUCCCUGUCCUCCUCCUUGGAUGGCUGAAUAGGUCCUCAAUGGUCCUCCACACCUUCCUGGUACAAUGAAAAGUAAGAUAAAACUUCUUUCUCACUAAUGCACAUGCAAUGUAAAUCACGGACCACAUUUAACUUGGAAAAUUAGACAUCACACACAAUACAUUGUUCAAGCUAGAGGCCACAUUACAUGCUAAGAUAUUGUUCCCUACCAUCAGUAUACAACACUACAAUAAAACCAACGGAUGCCACACUGAACUACUUGUUCUCCCUCUCCCAGUUGAAUUGGAUCCAAUGCAGGCGGCCCUCUCUGGUUUUCAUCUUCGUGAAGGCCCUUCGAUUCACUGCAUUCUUGCAUAAAUAUAUUGCCAUGCAGUACAGAUCAGACCCCUCGUCAAUACCAUCUUCUUCUAAAAUCCGCAUUGCAAGGUCCAUCUCCUCUUGCUCACAGCUGAGACGUUUCUAGCUUCUCGUAGCUACAGUUUCGGAGAGUUCUCUGACGUAGUCCCCCAAGCUGCCACUCUUCUUUUUUGGAGGAUUGUCGACAACUUCCUCCUGGGUUGGCCUUUUAGACAUAUUACGAGCAUUGCUAGUAGCCAUGGGGUCUAGGUACAUGUCUACUGGAGUGUCCUUGGUCCCCAUACUGGGUGUUGCCUCACGGACACCUCCUGCAGUUAGCAAGGUCCCCCUGUCUUGGGUGGUGUGGCCGAAUAGCGUGUAAAGUUCGUUAAGGAGUGGUGGUGGUUUAGUAGUACUCGUCUGGGCAGCACCAGCACUAGUUUCCUGUAGGUCACGCAACUACAUGUUAGAAAAAAAUUGAUGCUAGAAUUGAAUGAACAAGAAGUACUGCAAAGGUGACAGCACGUACCCCUUCGUCGGUAGCUCAAAAAGUGGAAUCAGAUGCAACACCACCAGUAUGUUUGUCACGGUCUAGGCCUGAUUGGACUUGCAGGUCCCUCCAAUUCAUGAAUGACCUUUGCAUGGUGCUCAGCUUGUUCUGCAGCUGCUUGCUGCCUAAAGUCAAACCAGUCUGUUGUUUGAAAUUACGGUAGACGUGUUGCCAUCCUAACUUAGUUAGGCACUUGUUGCUUCAAUUCAGUUGGUUCUUCUCAACAAUGCAGAGGUCGAGGAAUGUUUUCGCUGUCUUCUCAUCCCAAUUGGCACUGCUACUAGCCAUCUGAGCCCAGUUGUACAAUGCAUAGUUUGAGUAGGUAGGAACUGCAAUUUUAUUUUAACAAAGAAGAAAAUGCAGGAAACAUAAAAGUAGACAAACUCAGUACGUAAUGAACAUGUCACUUGCCUCAGCAGUUGUCUUGGCGCAUUUGUAACAGAGAUUGUAUAGACAGGCUGGUGGGGGAGAGCAUGAAGAAGUGGAUGACGAUGCCAGUGUGGGUAUCGUUGCAAAGGACAAGAGUGUACUGGAAGUAGGCUUGUUGUAGAGGACUGCAUAUGUGCAAAAGAAAAUAUUGUUAGAUUAAUGCUUCAAAUUUGCACUCAACAUUGUACCGGAAUUUAGUUAAAGCACUUGAGGACAAUCCAAUUCAGAGAAGCAAUAAACUUGCAUAAACCUUUAUGCAAGCUAGAAAUAUAAUCUAUAGAUAAAAGGGACCAGAAUUUGACAGGCAGGCAUACUAAUCAUGGCUAUAUGCAAAUCUCGUAGAGACAUACACUAAUGAGUAAUUAACAGGCAUACUGACUGGCAUCAUUGAGAUAAUAAGUUAAUUCAGGAAUGUAAUCCUAUAUUUUGAAUUGUUACAAAGGAAACACAAUAUGAUAAAUUUAUGAACUGGUAAGUUAAUAAUUGUGUUCAUGGGGGCUACAAAUUUCUCUCAGUAUAAGUAAAAUAAAAAGUGAUAUAUGAAUAUGAGGAAAACUUGCCUAAAGUACCAGAAUGUAUUUACUAAUCCAAUAAAAGCAACCACAUGCAUAUCCAAUUUCAUUCAUUUGAAUGAGAUGGCAGAAGGUCAGGAUGUUGUACGUACAUCAAACAAAGACCUCAAUAGGGAAGGGAAAUCAAAACAUUUGAUCUUUUGUUAUGAGCAAACACAUGAGCUCAAAUAGUAAACCAAAUGACUAAUCAGAUGAAAAAGAAAAAUACAUGCAAUUUAAGCAAAUUUACUUAAUUCAAUAUUAUUUUUUUGCUAUUAGGUUGAAAAGACAAUGUUAGGUUGUCUCAGCAUCAUGUAUGCUAUUAUCUCCAUCAACAUCUUGCAGAAGAAUGAUAGCUGCAAUGACAACACAUUAUGUUUUUAUCUUUGCAGGAUCCAGUAUUACUAUUUUGGAUCUCAUGAACAAGAAGAAAUCAUAAACUUACAGUGACACAAGUGAAGGUUGGCCUAAACCAGGUGGUAAGCUUCCUGUCAGUGAAUUAUAGCUCAAGUUUCUGACCAAGCAGAAGAUAUAACAUUAGCUACCAAGGUUGGAUCACAUACUGUUAACUGUAGAAAUAACCGAAAAAGGCAUUUACAUAAGCAACAAGAAAGAAUUCUUAGGAAAGGUACAAGCACACAUAAAAAACUUGACAAUGGCAAAUAAUAUAAACUUCUUAAUUCAGACAACGAUUGGUCUAAAACAUAACUAACAUUAAGCAGGUGCGGACAAGCAAGAAGGUAAUUAAGAUGAAUUCUCUCAAAACAACUUAUAUUUGACAUCCUUUAGUAUUUGUGGUCAUCAUUUGUACAGAUGAAUAUAUAUCAUUCCAAAGCGAAGAAUGUAAAAAAAAAACAUGUGUAUAUAUGAUUUCAAAACCAUUUCGACCAUUCAUAGAGCAAUUAAUAGUACUAGUAGGUGCAGUUUACCCAAACAGAGAAAAUUAACAAGUCAAUCAAUUCAUUCUCAGAUUUUAUUUGAAUGAGCUUUAUCAAUUUAUAUGUGAUUCAUCAAGUGAGAGGGACAAGGAUCUGAGUCCGAUGGAAACUUUUAGAGGUGGAGAGAAAAUAUAAACCUACACCCAUAUGUAUCAAUAGUAAUCAAUAACAGGAUAAUAUACACUUCUAAGGUAUUCAAUUUUGUACCCAAGGCCUACCGCCACACAUUCACCUGCCUCAACAAUGAGCAGGCUUUAGAUCCAAUAACAUCACUCUAAAUAUUUCCUUUUGCUAUUGCUGUCCAGCUUCAGUCAUCUUGAGGAAGAAGCAUAUGGCGGUAAACAAGGAUUACCUGGAUCUGAAUGGGGGGCUUCCUCGGGCUAUGGCGACACUAGGGCCACGAUGUGGCGGAUGGGAGAUCUGCUGCUGGACUUCUUGCUCGAGUUGUCAGGCGAGGGGGUGCCGCGGUGGAGACGGCCGCCGUCGCAAGCCCGAAUCCCGGCUGGCGUGCUGGACGGCGAGCUGGAUCCCUAGCGGCCGGCUUGACCCCGGGUGUCUUGACGCUGCGGGUAGAUGACCUUCCUACGCGGUGGGGGUGAAUGGUACGGCACAGGCGACGAAAAGCUCACCUCGUGUUAGACCUGCUUCGUGGAUGCCGCAUCGAGGACAAAUGGAAGCCGUCGUCGGAGAGGGAGACGCUGGGUACAACGCAACGCAGAGGGAGCGAGAGGGAAGUGGAUAGAGAUGCGAUGCGGGGAAGAAAAUGAGAGAGGAAGAGGAAAGGAGGCCAAGCGUCGGUGCUGCAGCCGAACGGCUGCGUGUGGGCUGCCAAACUGCCAAACGACUGCGCUUAUCAGCCUAGCUCGAAACAGCCUAGCCAGCCAGAUUCAGCCUAGCCGAACGCGGCAGAGCAACUCCACCAGUAAGAUUCAAAAAAAAACAAAGAAAAGAUUGCCAGGUUAAAAAAUCCGUGUCUUUACAACCGAGCAUCAAAACCAAAAUCUGAUUGCACCAUCGUGUUGGUCUCAGCAAAAGCUUCAAGAUCUCGCUUCAAUAUGUUUUGAUCCUAUUUUUCUCAUACAGUACCAAGCAGUUUUGUUAAAAGCUAAACGCAUACUACAAUAAACUUAGAAGCAAUUUAGAACAAAUGUAUAGGCAAAUUAACAUCAUUUAAAGCCACAUAGUUUCUUCACUGAAAGGGGAACAACCGAGAUGAAGUCCCUGCAAAUGUAGCACUUUCACUUCACAGUUCACUUCACAUACAGAAAUGAACGCAUCCACAAAAUUACAAUUCAUGUAAUUGGCAUCUGAAACCUGGACUACUAAGUUGCUUAUUGGGAACCAUAUUUUUGCUUGUCUCGAAUAACAUGUUUGCCUAAUCAGGUCCAUUUUAUUGCCUAAAUCAGGAGGACAGGAACCAGGGAGCAAAAACUCAGACAAAUGCUAGUAUCACAACCACUCGAGAGAGAGCCAGUGAGCGUGCCCCUGGUGCAGGACGGCACCACGACCCUUGCGAGCCCUUCCUCGCGGCCGUGGGUCCCUCGCCGGGGUUCGCCGCCGUGCGCCCUGGAGGCCUCCGCGGGGGGCGCCGCUGCGCAGGCCUUCGCCGGGGGCCGUCCUCACGUUCCCUCGCCGGGAGGCCGCCGCGGGGGCAGCGCCGCAGGCUCUCGCCGGGGGCCACCGCCGCGUUCCGUCGCCGGGGGGGGCUGCCGUCGCGCACGCCCUGGAGGCCGCCGCCGCAGGCCCUCACCGGGGGCCGCCGCGCGCGCGCGCCACUCCCUCACCACCAUUUGGUGAAGAUACUGGAGGUAGAGAGAGAGAGGGGUGAAGAAGAUAAGAGUGCCUCUGUUGGGAAGAAGGAAUGGCGGAGAGAAUAUCAGCACAUUGUGGGGCCCGCGCACAUGGAAAACCUGUUUGCGCAAUGAAUGAGUCAGCGCAGAUUGACGAGUCCGUGCAGGUGGACGAAAUUACAGCCGGCUGGAAAGCAGUCAUUACCCUCCAAAAAUCUAGGAAAAAUACACGAUAAUCCAAAGAGUUUGGAUUGGGAUGUGAUUUUUUUUACCCAGAUUAUAUGAUCUACGGUAGAUCCAAUGGCACUUAACAUUAACCACGGCGAAUAUCUAAUAAUCCGGCUUUUUCUCCAAACAAAUUACCCGCAAGCUCCACUUUUUAGCAAGGCGAAAUCUCCUCUUAUAUACGUGUCCCAAAAACAAGUUACUCAAAAUAUUUAAUCACACAUAAUAACUUGUUUUUUUUUGACACGGAGGAAGUACUGCACAUAAUAACUUGUUUUUUUUUUACGCGGAGGAAGUACUGCACAACUUUCGUCUUGUUGGGUAUACGCACUGCACAACUGAAUGAAUCUGAAUGCCUCAAAUUCGAAAAUGAGAAGAGUGUUUGCUUACCAGGAAUGAAGCUAAACUUGUGCUGACCAAUCCCCUUGUUUCUGUCUCGCUCCUGUGUGAAAAAAAUCAUGCCUUUCUACGGGUAGUGAGAAAUAAGAACGAAAUCUGAGGCUCAUGCAUAUCCUUGAAAGGAGACGUUGUAUUGCCUUAAUCUUGCUCGCUGGUGGUAUAAAAAUCCUACAGAAAGAAUCGUUACAUUAUACAUGACCUCCGAUGCUACAUCAUCGAGAAAUACUAAUACUACUAGCUUAGUAGUUGUUUCUUCUCCAGUUACAUAUUGCAGCAAAGAAUACUACGAAAAACAGAAAACAUUUCCUCUCCUCCAAUUGCCUUGAGGCUUCAGAAACAUGACCAAAUGCGUAUGCAUGCAAACCUUCCUGCAUCCUGCCUACCUAAACCAAAAGAAACACGAAAGCAAUCGAUCCAAAGAAGAGAUCAGAUCGAUCCAAUGGAGUCACCGUCGCCGCCGUAUCACCAAUGCUAUGCCGUAGUGCAAGAGCCCCCUGUCAUUAGUGUGUCAAUGCCUGCCGCCGUGCCGCGCGCCUACUACCACUGCUCGGCCCCGGGGCGGCCGGCGGCGUGCAUGUGCUUGAGCUUGGUCAGCUCUUUCCUCCGCUUCCUCGCCUCCGCCGCCGUCGCCGCCUUGUCCCUGUCGCUCGGCCCCGCGCCGCCCCGGGCGUCGAUGCUGACCGGCGCGCUCCGCUUGUCGGCGGCGAUGUCGAGGCCAAGCGUGAGCGAGCAGGGGUCGUCGUCGGUGUCCUCCUCGGCCGUCGCGCCGCCGGCCGGGCUCCCGCCCCCGCUCCCCGCGGGCUCCGGCUGGAACGCCGCCUGCUGCUGCUGCUGCUGCGUCCCCGCGUACGCGGCCGACGGCGACCCGCGUGGGUCCGCCACGACGGGGUAGUACCACGCGCAGGGCGGCAGGCAGAGCGCCGGCGGUGGGCUGCCGUGAUGGUGGUGGUGCUCGUACCCGGCGCCGGGCGGCCACGAGCCCCAGACGUAGGGCACCGGCGGCGCCGCGGUGUACAGAAACCCCGGCUGCGGCGGCGUGGCCGGCGGCGACGCCGCCGCAGCCGCCAUGGGUUCCGCCGCUUGCUGCUGCACCGCCGCCACGUGCAUGGGCACCGCCGCGGUCACCGCCGUCGUCACCGGGGCUUUCUUGGUCGUCCUCGCCACCUGCAGAGAAUUGGAAGUGACGAAUCGAUCAGGACCUGCGGCGCCUCUUCGGCUCUGAAACAGCUAAUUCCGACGUGGUGUGACAGCAAGACCGAUGAUAACUCCGGCGACAAAAAGACGAGCUGUGCCGACGUGGUGCGGUGACCAGGUGACGCGCGACGCUGCAAACGACACCGAGGACACGGCUGCGUGCAGCAACUUUUCUCCCCAGGGAAGGCCAGUCUGCUGAACCGACUAGAAGGGAGAACACCUGAGCUGACUACCCUACGCGGACGCACCCCAUGCGGCCAGCGUCGGCAUUGCACCGAGCUAGCUACCGAGCUGGGUGUGCCGACCAAAAGGCCAGGGAAAGGAAAAGGAAAAGAAGGAAGAGAUUGUUCGUUCUAUCAUUAUCCGAUAUAAGAUGUCUCUGUCAGCGUGACAUGCGUACAACAGCAAGAAGCACUUUGACAACGAACACAAAUCGAGCACCACAACCACAACUAGCAUGCUCCUCCGUAGCAGCUAGGUGUACGGCAUCGACCUUGUAGUGGCCAGAAAAGCUUUGGGUGUCAUGUGGCCUCCGUCGAGGGGCACAACUGGAGGCUUGGAACGUACUAGAUUCCUGUCUGCCUAACAAUGGCAACAUCAUGCUUUGGAUAAUACAGUUGUUUAAUCGUCGAUCAUGCAGCGGACGACGUAAUCUGUCUAGUCAAGCAAGUACAGGAUUAAAGCGAAAGCGAAAGCGAUGGUGGUGAUGGUGGUGUGCCUGUUCUUUGAGCUGCUUGUUGGCCUCCUUGAGCGAGAGGUACUCCUGCAUCACCAUGUCCUUCUCCUGCACACCAACAGGUCAGGUCAGGGUCAUAGGAAUAAGACAAGAAACUUUCACGACCGUCAGUUGGAUGGUGAUCAUCAGCAGGUUGUACAACAAUCAAUCACACUACUGUCGCAAGUAACGGAAUCUGAAGAUCGGUCGCACCUUCUUCAUGUUCUCGUUCUGGGAGGAGAGGUCGACGACCUUCCUGGCGAGCUCGUCGCGGAUGGCCUGGCGCCGGAGGAUGGUCUGGCGGGCGGACUCCCGGUUGGCCAGCACGCGUCGCAGCCGCUUCGCCUCCUUCUCGGCCUACACACAUAUGAACGGCGCGCUGGUGAAAGGGAGAGAUCACCGGAAUUGCGAGCGCGCGGCGCGAGUAGGGUACCUCGGUGAGCGUGUGCCGGGGCCGGGGGCCGUACCCCGUCGCCGCCGCCUCGGGCACGGGGUGCGGCUGAUGCUGUGCCGAAGGCUGGGGGUGCGGGUGGCCGGCGCUGGAGCUGCUGGAGCAGGGGGACGCGGACUGGAUGCCGACCUUGCCGAGCUCAAGGCUCAGCCGCGUGCUCGCCAAAUCGUCCUCUCCCUCCGCUGUCGGCGGCGCCGCGGCGGCAGCCUGGAAAGCAGUAACCGUCAAGAAUUGAAUCAUGUAGCGACGGCAAGUGGGUGAGAGGCCAGGGACGAGAUCGAAUUCGACUCUGAGGGGAUGGGCUUCACCUGAUGAGAAGAGCGCGGGUGGUUGCCGCCGCCAGGGGUGGCAGCCGGCCCGACCCCGGCCAUGUCGGCGAGCGCCAUGGCGGCGUCGAGCUCGACGUCGACGGUGACGCCGCGGCGGCAUUGCCUCUGCCCGUCGCUGUCGUCAGACAUGGCGGCAGGGGGGAGGGAGGGAUGGGAGUCAACAGUGGCCUCCUCGCAUCGAUUAGAUGGAUCGCCGAGCAAGAGGAGGGGAGAGGGAGGUUUUUGUAAGAGCGGCGGGGUGGGGGAUGGGGGCAGCCGAGCCGAGCUUGCGCUUAAUCGCUUGGGUUCGACGGUGACAAGCCAAAGCGAGUACGGCCGGGCUGGGGGCCCCCGAAUAAAUAUCUCCUCCGAUCCCUCCCGGCUCCCAGAGGCGGCGCGGCGGGGUGUGGGGGAGCAGCCGAGCAGGACAGGUGGUCUUGUGCCCGCGCCGCGACCUCGCCCGGGAGCGUCCGAUGGGGCGGGCACGAGCCAAUCUCGCCCGUCCGCGAUCGCCACGUGGCGAGGCGGCAGCAGCCCAGCGCGCUCUCCUCCACGCAGCAGGCCGUGGAGGGACACGCGGAGCGACCCAACGCCGCGACCAGCAUGCAGAGAGUCGAGAGAGGCGGGCUCGUGGCCCGAGGCCUUCGGGGCUGUGGGGUCCACUGGUCAGUUGGGGUGAUUCCCCACCAGGUGCGGAAGUGCCUUUGUCUCGGUGACGUGGCCUUCGCGACUGCACACGUGAGGGCGGAUGGGCGCCACUGCUGGCGCGCCUGGGUUGGGCCCGUGAGUUGAGUUCGCUUUUGGAGGGAGCGGGGCCCCGCAUGUCAGCCAGCACCGGCGCGACGUGCCUCGACAAUGAACAGUCCGGGUGGCCGGGGAUGGACGCCGGGCGGAAGGGCCUAGAAGACCAAGCAGCAGCGCGCCACCGAUUCGGCAGUGCGGUGCCUUGGCGAAACCCAUCCAUCCGAUCAGGCGAUUACCCCUCGGUGAGUGAGGGUACCCACAGACUUCUACCGGGCUUCUACCGAUUUCUACCGAUCAGGAUACUGGUCUGAGUGGUGCUCGAUCAAGGCAUGCGGCUGAGAACAGGUAGUUACUUGAUUUGGAGUACAAAAUAACAAGAUAAUCCAAAUCUGCUCGGAUAUCAUGAAACGCGUAUUGUAAUCCGACUCAGAGUAAUUUUCAUGUAACUACCGAGUAGAUUAGAUUCAAAUCGACUUGUAACUCUUAGUUCUCAGCCUAUAUAAGGUGGCCAAGGGCACCCCCUGAGGGUAUCCCAUCAUCAAAUAAUCCCGAGCAAUACAAUCCACGCAUACAGGACGUAGUGUAUUACUCUCCGAAGAUCCGAACGUGUCUAAAACCCUCGUAUCCCUCGUGUUCUCGCGAUCACCUUCGAGUUCUUGGUUUCGCAAUCGCCCUCACCUACAAAUCAACCACUUGGGUAAACCCCUGGUAGACUGCUGGGCUUAUAAAUUUGACAGUUGGCGUGCUAGGUAGGAAUGGUUGCGAGAUCCUCUUGGCGACCUCGAUGGCAUCCCGUCCUGGCGUUGUUUUUCUCGAGAGUAUGAAGGACUUCCUCGCUAACCCGAAGGUGCUAUGGCUAGUUGACAAAGGCUUAUAAGUUGGCUCCACCCUUGCUCAACUAGCAAGGUGGUACUAAACAUGCGCUCAUGGACCACACUGGACCAACAAAUUGGGCCGGGUGUCACAUACACCCCCCUCAAGGAACCCGACAUCCAACUCACCCACACAAUUGACAAAACAAAAUAGCUAAAAUUGAACUUUAAAUGAACUUUUAGCACAAUCAAACAUCUCUAAAAAAUUGGGUAAAAAUUUGUAAAAUCACUAAAUGGUAUCUAGUAUUUGAAUAAAAUAACAGGAGGCAUAUUUGUGUAGAAGAAAUUGGGGUUGCUUCACAAAUUUGGUUUUUUAACAAUAAAUAAAAAUUUCUAGGAACUUAAGUAAUGCACGGUCAAAAUGCUUAUUUAUGCACAAGUGAUGCUCAUGAUACUUAACUAUGCACAAAAGGAUGUUCAUGAUGCUCAAUUAUGCAUAAUGAUGCUUGUGAUGCAUGUCGUGCAAAGGUGUUGUGAUGCAUGCAUAAUGAUGUGCAUUGGCUUCAUAGGCCAGCUUCUGUGAUACCACAUACUCACUCUUGACCGCUAUGUCACGCUCUUGCUGAAGGCGUGCAUUGGAGCCCUCGCACUCCUUGAGGUACCGGUGGAGUCUUUGCUCCCUCAUCGCGGCAUCUGCGUGCCCAAACAAGUUCACAUCAGCAUUAGGGUGGCAAGGACAAAACUGAUUAAAAUAGGUCGGCACAGCAUACCUCUCAUGUGCGCAGCAAGCACAUCCUUCUCCAUGCUCUUCUAUAGGAGCUGGUUGGCGGCAUCCUCUUUGGCCUUUUGGAGCUCGGCUUCAAGGCGCUCCGCUUUCAAACGAUAAUACUCGGCCCGCCGAGUCCCUUUUGUCCUCUUCCGCUCGUGGGUGGCCAGAUUCUGUUUACAUUUCAACAUCCAGAAUUCUUCAAGGAAACUUGGAUUUAAACACAAGUUGGCAAAUGCACUUACAAACAACAGCUCGUCGGCGUCCAGGGAUAUUUUUCGCAGCUUGUAAAGGUCUUCCUUAUCCCGCGCUACGUCCUCUGCUACAUCCGUGUCGGAGAAAUCCUUGGGGUCAGGCUCAUCUUCAUGAACCACACCAAGGUCAGCAUCCUCAGCAGACCUCUCCGGGAGCAGGUCAUCCUUGGGCAGCUCCUCUUGUUGAGGCUUGGCUCUAGCCCCCUCAUCAGCUGCCUUCUCGACCUUAGGGUCAACCGGGGCUAUAUUUGCAACUCCGAAGCCGGCUUCAUCACGUUGCAGCGCUGGAGUCAGAUCGACUACCUCGGUGCGACCAUCCUUAUCAACUCUGGCCUUCGGGGGCAGGGACGUUUCCAUGGUGUGACCGCUGGUCGCCUCGGUCUGGGCUGAGCAGCUGGUCAGUUGUACGCCACCAUCAUCGGACAGCAUGGUGGUCCUCCAUCACCAGCACAACAAGCAAUUCACACAAGUUAGUCGGCAACCAUAAUUGCAACACAGAUAGCAUAAGUAGGCGGCACUUACAGGGUGCUCUUCUUCUUCACUCGGUACAUGGGGCGCAAUGGUGGUGGCGGCGCUGAUGUAUCUUCGCUGGGCCUGCCACGGAUCUUCACCUUCAGCGUCUCCUUGACGUGUGCCGCUUCAGCCGCAGUGGUCUCCUGGAGCUCCAAUUUCUUUCUCUUUACGGUCGGGCUCAGCGUGUCGGAGUCCUCGUCCACAUCGCUACCCGACCUGGUCAGGGCAGCCUUCUCCUUUUUCUUCUGGCCAUCUUCCUCCUCUCCCGCUCAACUGCGGCACCUUAGAGACAGCCUGCUUGUGCACGGUCUACCGUGUCCGAUGCCCAACCGGCUCAGAGCCUUGGGGCUAGCCGGCCCCUUCUGUCACACCCUCGUCCGACCCAAAGGAAGAGUCCGAAUCCCAUUGAAGGUCGGCGAGCGGCACGUUGGCCUCAACGGUCGGACGGAUCUUGGGUCAUCGCUAGUCGACCCCUCCAGGCAGUGGUGCCGAGGGAAAGUAUAUAAACAUGUCGUCCUGAUCAAAACAUAGUUUUAUUCAGAAUAGUCACAGAAGGACAUGCAGUACGCCAAAUCUGAAAUCCGCAAUCUUACCGGGUUGGAUGGCGGCCUCUUCAAUGAGUAUGCUUUGGGGCAGUUUUUGUUCCUAAUCACGCCCCCGAAGAACUUGGACACCCAGUUGAUAAUUUCUUCUUUGGACACCUUGCGCUGCACAUCCCGGGUCGGGUCCUCUAGCCCUGAAUACUCGUACGUCAGGUGCACUUAGUGCUUGAUUCGUUGGAUCAACCUCUUGCUGAAGUUGAUACUGAUGGCCGCGGCUGUCAGUCCCCGUGCUUUUAAGUCGGCAAUCUUCGCCAGCAACUCAUUCACCUGGACCUGUUUCUCCAAGGUCGGCUAGUUCGACCACACGGGCAUCACCGCUGGCCCGUACCCUGUGUAUGGCGGCAACUUGGGCUGCUGAUUGGCAAUGAUGAACCACUCCUUAUGCCAACCUUUGUUGGACUCCUUCAGCUGCAGAUCAAAAUAUUCUUGUACUUUCUUAGGCCACAGCGAGAACCCACAACCCCCAACAACCCAUGCCUGUUUCCCCUUACUUGACACAGGCUUCAGAUGAUACAAAUAUUUCCAGAGAUCAAAAUGCGGGGGGAUAUCCUAAUAUGCCUCACAUAGGUGAAUGAAGACCGCAAUGUCUAAAAUUGAGUUGUGAUUGAGAUGUACUAGCUCGAUUCAGUAGUAGAACAGAAGGCCCCGGAACAAAUCUCGCACGGGAUCCCGAACCCGUGCUCGAAGAACAGCGCGAAGACCACCGUCUCCGCCGUGUCCUCUGACGGGAAAUCUUGGCUGGCGGUGGGCUUCCAAUCCAGCAGAGCCUGCGGCCCGAGGAGACCUCAGUCGACAAGGGCUUGUAACGAUUCUUGGGUCAUCACGGACUUCAUCUCGAUGGCAGAUGGCUCCAGAAUAUUUGCUUGCGCCAUUUCUUCAAGCUGUACACCUUGAGAUUUUGAUCUAAUGGUGGCUCGAGUUUUGAUGCGCAUACGGUGGCACGACGGCUUUGGCGAUAGUGGCACGACAGCUCGAGUGGCGGCGACAGAAUGUGCGCGAGCAGAACGGGGAUUGCAGCGGCACGGCCUAGGGUUCGUGAGUGCGGCAGCGAAGUGCUCAGUGGACUGUGGCGGCGACGCUGUGAGUGUUCAAGAUAGAAGUGAAAACGGCUCUGUGACACCUUGCGCUUUUGAGGGGGAUGACGGCGUAACCUACGGACAGAAAUUGCGGACCUCCCGUUAUUGUGGCGCAAUGUGCCAGGCAAAAUUUGCGAGUUUUUUCGUUAGCGCCGCGUGCGUGGGAUAGGAUCUGCGGGUUUUACGUUGCGCUUUUAACUGCGUGCCUUCGCGGCUCCGUCGGUCCUUAUCCUCGGGGGCUGGGCGCCUAAUUCUGGUCGACGUGCCUCUGCGGCUCUGCCAGUCCUCAUCCUCGAGGGGCUGGGCGCCUAAUUCUGGUCGGCGUGCCUCCAUGGCUUCGCCAAUCCUUGUCCCUAGGGGCUGGGCACCUAAUUUUGGCGGGUGUGCCCCUGUGGCACUAUAAAUCCCCACAUUCAGAUGAAGGGGUAUAUUUUUAUUCAGCUACAAUCAUAUUCCCUGGAAGUAUUAUUGCCAAUACAUAUUACAAAUGCCUGUGAAUAACUUUGAAAUAGCUGACAUCCCAGGAUAAGAAGCUACAAUGUAAAAAAAGAAAAAAAAACACAAUACAAGAAAGCUGUGCGAAACACUUCCCCUAACAGUGUCCCGAACAAAGUGACACGGUUCACGAUGCAGCCUCCUCACAAGGAUUCUUCUAGCAUCGUCACCUCCUGGCUUCAUCAAAGAGACUGCGAAGGGAAGGAGCAUCCAGGUUUUCCUUAUGAGAAUUCUUCUAGCAUCAGGCUUCUGGGCGGGUGCUAGUCCUAUCAAAAACUAUAAGCUUCAAGCCUACAAGCGUUAUUACUCGGGCCAUGGCUCUUCAUGAUGAACUUUGGUCUAUUUAUAGCCUGACCGCUCGCUAAACAUCCAAAGUGCUACAGUGAACUCAUGAGGGUUCACGACAAGGCUUUCCCAUACCGAUAUGGCUCUACAGUGUUCACGUGAUGCUUGGUCUGAUCUUCAAGUACUGACGGGAAUCGUGAAGUUGCUCAGAUGGUGUAGUACUCCCAUGAGCAGGCAUCUUUGUCGCUUAUUUAUCAUUGCACCAGUCCUUAUCUCCAGAGAUUUGGACGUGUACUUUUGGUCGGCGGGCCUCCAUGGUUGCGCCUAUCUUUGUGCUCGGGCACUAGGACUUGCUUCAGGAGACAACCUUUUCUUCUUUGACUAUUGAACCGAUUAUUCUAAUCACUUCAAUGUUCGGGGGCUACUCCUACGGAGUGCGUCUUGCGACGCUCUCCUUAACCUUCGCUUCGACCUGUUUGAUGCCCGCAUCGAUCAAUUCGGCACUCGUCUUCACUCUACGCGUUGGCUCUACGUUCGCUCGGAUUUUCUUCUUUUUUAGCACUGCGCAUUCUCUCCGUCACCAUGAUGCCAUCGCAGUUUUAGCCGACUUCAUUUCAAGCUUCGCUGUGAUGACCUCAAGUUCCUGUUCACCUACACAUCGCUCGGGGGCUUAAGGGAUACGGGUACCCAUGGAUCCCUACCGACCAGGAUACUGUUCGGGCCUAACAAGUGUGCCCGCCCAAUUAGGGCGUGCGGGUUAAGGAUAUGAAGUUACUUGGAGUACACGUUAAGAUAACAAGACAGUCCAAAUCUGCCCGGAUAUCAUGGAAUGCGUAUUGUAGUCCGACUCAGAUUAAUUUCCAUGUAACUAUCGAGUAGAUUAGAUUCAAACUGACUUGUAACUCGUGGUCGAGGGUAUCCCAAUAUCGAACAAUCCCGAGCAAUGCAAUUCACGCAUAAAAGGACGUAGGGUAUUACUUUCCGGAGAUCCGAACCUAUCUAAAAUCAUCGUAUUACUCGUGUUCUCAUGAUCACUUUUGAGUUCCUGGUUUCGCCGUCGUCCUCACCAAGGACCUACAAAUGGUUAACGGAUUAUGAAUACGACUAGGGCGUAGCGUAGUAAUCUGUGAUGGUGUGGGGACAAACGUGUGUUGACCGUUGAUUACCGGCCUUGUCGGCGGCGGGGUCCAAUGGUAUCGCGGCCAGCUGAACCGCCUGCUCUCUCGCACUGCCGGCACUGGAGGAUCUGCCUGCUGCUAAUCCUGCUGUCAGGAUCGGAGCAAAACGCUUCACGCUGCCAAGGCAGUCUUCAAGACGAACAGCAAAAGGUUCGCGCGCGCCGUGCCGUGCCGUGCGCAGACUACCAGUGAUGGAUGAACACAUCUCUUCGGUUCGAAGGAAGCCCCAAACGGCCAGACCAGAGACUACCAGAGACUACCAGACGGUUCGACGAGCGCAGUGGAGACCGACGGACCGGUAGUAAAAAGAUACGCUGCCCGCGGCGCGCCCACAGUAAAAAGAAAGAAAAGCUUAUCCCCAGUCCACCGCCUUGCAGGCCGCAGGCAAUGUGCUUUGUGCACGCAGUCUUGGACCCGUCUCUUCUCUUCUCUACUCUACUGAUGGAGAGUCCUGGGCGCGAGAUGAUGCGCGCCAACCAACUUGCGAUCUGAUCGCGGAAGCAGUCAGCAGAGACGCCGCCCUCAUGCAAGUUGGCGUGCGCGGCUAUACGGCAAGGCGACGCCCUCUGACUCUGACGACGUGUAGUACCAUGUACCUGUCCAAUGGAUCGGCGCAGCGUAUCCCCCGGCUAGUGGCAGCUCCAUCCCUCUCAUCCUGUCUCCUCCCAGACCUGAUCCCUGGCGCGCCUUUUCACGCGCCCGGCCGCCGCCUCGGGACUUCCCGUCCGUCCGUCCUAGGGCGGCAGGGGCGACCGAGCGACCACGUCACUGCCUCACCACUCGCACGCCAUGCAUGAGAGAUACUGCACUGCCCUCGCGCACGCGCGGCGGCUCGUCGGGCGCGCUGUCAUUCGCCUGCUUUGCUUGAGGCCGGCGGUGCCAUGCCGCGGUGCUCGGCGGCGCAGGGGCCUCGUGCGUGUCACGUCACGUCUCUUGGUUGUUUCCCUCCCUAUGGGCAGUGGCGUGGUGAGUCCUGUGCGCCACGCAGCGGCAGGCCUCGACAAUAGAUCGGUUACAGCCCAUGCAUGAUCCAGCGCCUACUAACCUAACUGGGCCUCAACAGGACAAGCCAGUUGGGCCCAAACAGUCCUCUCUCCCUUCCACGUCCCCUGUCUACCACGUGACGUGAGUUGUGAAUUGUGUGAUUGUUCCGGAAGCACCCAUCCCUCUCCACUCCACGAUUGCUAGCGUCCUGCUGCUGCUGCGCCCCUCUCAGAUCCAGCGCCACCGAUGCCGCCGCGGGGGCCCUCGCAGCCGCAGCCGAUUGCCCCCUCCCCCGCUCCAUUUCCCUCGCCCGCCCGUGAUCCGAUAUUCCGAUCCGACCCAUGGCCCGAUCGGUUCCAUUCCAUCGUAGCAGCACCUACAACGCGUCGCCGAGUGCCGUAUGUGUCCGGUAGUUUUUGCACAAAACACCCUCGUAUGGCGAGGAGACGGCGCCAUCGUCGUCUUGUGAGGCGACGGCAAGGGCUCGUGGUCCCAGACCAAAUCGCCAACUAGAGGACCGCUGUACAGGGUCGUCCUCUCGAGUCGACGGCGCGGAUCCUACUGCGGGUGCGCUCGGAUCCAGAUUUUGACGCGCGCAAGAUGGUAGCUGCGCGCCAAAAAUCCAUCCCAUCUCUGCAUCCGGUCAGCGGCAACGGAGGCGGCAAUGGUGGCCCGUUGCGGAAGCAGCUCGGUAGCUGGAGCAGCAAUGACGGACCGCCCCGUUGUUCGCGGCUUGGGCGCAACGGCAUCACCCAUCACCGCCGGCGCCAGUCACGGCAACGGCGCUGCAAGUGCAAGAAAUGCCGCUGUGGAAACCUCCUCCCGGUGACCCCGACCCGUCGCGAGGACAGCGGCGACAGAGCCUCCCACCCCUCUGGCUUAGUCGGUGUUUCUGAUGUAAACGAGGUGUUCGACGAAAGGUGGCUAUGGAGAUCCAUCGGCUUGCUGAGAACAAUAGCGUGCAGCACGACGGCAGGAGCAGCAACUACCUCAGAACGUAUAAGUUGUUCAAUGUUUUGGAUGCGAAAACUGAUUUAGUUUUCUUCUUGCCCAAAAGUAAGAUCCUAAUUCUACUGUGAAGUUUCCACCAAUCCACCUGGACUCUGUCAAGCUACUGCCUCUGGUAUGAACAUGUGUGAAUCUUUUUGUUUCCUUGUGCGCGCAAACAACAGCGAAGCUUUCCUUGUUUAGUCAUAUUACGUUUUAUUUAAUUUAUGAAAAAUUUGUUCUAUUACAUUAAUAUAAAUAUAUUCGAAUAUCAUGUUUCCAAAAGGUAUCAUCAUCUUUCUUUUUUCAAUAAGCAACACAAUAGUAUACACAAGUCUUAUUUACUAUUGAUCAUGACUACAUGCGGGCAUUAAAGACUUAACAAACAACCAGAGCUGUCUAUUUAGGUGUUUUUAUGUGGUGUGAUAUCAUCAUACGACGACAAACGGUCUACAUGCCCUUAUGCAACUGGAAAAUGGAAGUAAAAUUAGGUAGGUUUGUGUAAGAACGUUCGAAUUCAAUCUAUUUUUUGCGAUGAAGUACUGAACCAUAUAAUGGUGGUGGACUACGUAUAUGUUCUGUUUCUGCUUUGCCUAAGCGAGCAUCAGGUCUGCUAAAGUGCUGAGGCGUGCAUGUCAGAUAAAAAAAAAAUCAAUCCAUGGUGCCUCAGACCAAAACGUCUUUAGGACAAACUUUGCUUUUAGAAAAGUAUUGUAUUUCUUUUUCUUAAACUUUGCUUUCUGAAGAAUUAAUAGCGGCAAAAGGACGCCACUGCAUGAUGGCAACUCUCAGCUGUACAUUUCAUCGUGACAGCCGACCGUACAACCCCCAACACGAUCGUCUUUACACUCCCUGUACAAGUCAACGCCGUCGCCUCUCACCGGAGCGUGAGCAUGACGAGGAAGCCGAGGAACGCCGCGGCUCCGACGCCGGAGCAGCAGAGGUCGACGAUGCCCUCCCGCCUGGCCUUCCGCUCCUUGCGCGCCCUCUCUCCCCUGACGAACUCCUCGUACCGCUGCCUCGCCGCGCCCUCGGCGCCGCGGCCGCCCCGCCUCGCGCCGGCCAUGGCCGCGGCGACCGCGGCCAGCGCGUCCCGGCCGCUGACCCCGCCGCCGUCGCCGCCCUCCGCGCACAGGCUCACCUCCCGCACGUGCCCGCGACGCUCGUCGCACGUCACGGCGGCCUCCAGUGCGACGUCGGAGCCACCGGCGUCGGCGCCGGGGAGCACGAUGGCGAAGCGCGCCACGGUGUCGCCCGUGAGCCACUUGCGGUCGACGGAGACCGGGCGGCGGCUGGAGGCGUUGAGGGCGCGGCCGGUGGCCGGGUCGAUGAGGAUCCAGCUAAGCGCGAGGUCCCCCGGCGCGAUCGUCGUCGCCGGCGACAACGGCGCCGUGAAGCCCUCCUGCACGAGCGCGUCGACGCGGAACGGCGCGCCCAGGAACCACCCCGACGCGGCGUCCGUCUCCACGACGCGGGACAUGAUGCAGGCGCCGCCGUGGUGGAGGUCGACGGCCGAGACGAGGCGCGCGGGCAGGGGUGAUCGCGGCCGCGAGCCCGCCGAUCCGGGCACCGCCGGCGGCGGUAUCGACGGUGUGGUGUCCGGGAACGGGAAGGCGUCGGCGAAGAGCGCGCGGUAGUAGUGCCCACCGCCGGCGGAGGCGCGGGAGAAGCAAGGGACGUCGCGAAGGGAGGGCCACAUGGCGAGGCAGAGUCCGCGCCAGGUGCCCGGGUCGGCGGCGAGGUCGCGGAGGGCGGAGCACGCGCACCCGACGGCGGCCAGGGACGCGCCGUCGAGGCGGCGGAGGACGAGGGCCAGGACGUCGGCCGGGAGGUCCUCGACGGCCGCCGGCGUGGCGGCACCGGCGGCGUCCAUGGCCCCGAGACCACCCAUGAAACGGAAACGGGGCAACCUGGCGGCUCUGUUUAACAGGAUCCGUGGAGCUUGGUUGGUUCCCGGGCGGUUGUGCGUCGAUUUGAAGCGGCCUGUGGUUCGUUUGUUUUGUUUGGUUUAUAAAUGGGGUGAUUAAGGGGAGGUUGCGUGGUCGGAUCACGGGUCAGAAAGCGAGAUGUUCCUGCCCGACCGGCCGGUGUCAGCAGAGCAAGGAUGAGAAGCCAGCAGCCACGGCGGAUAGCUCGCUCUCGCUCUCGCGCUCUUUGCGUCGCCGGAAAGCAAGCUCGGAGAAGUCAUCCGUGGGGACAUUUUUUCUUCUCAUCGGACAGCGGAAGGAAGCUUCUAUAACGGCAGCAACGCCACCGGUCAAUUUCAACUCGCGGCGCCGUACGAUGACCCUGCCAUGGCCGACGUGUCAGGCAAGGGACGUUAGUUACAAUCGACUGGUGCAUGAUCGAUGCGUAUCCACGUUUAAAGAAAGCUUUGCAAGUGUAGCAAUGGCGGCGGCUACCUGCCGUCGUCCCGGCUGCGGGGGCAGCCAGCGUACGUGUGAGUGGAUUCCGCGUCUGCUCGCGGCUAGAGAGUAGAGAUAGAUGAGGCAGGCGUGCGAUGAUCGCAUUUGGCACGUGCGUGCAAUGUUGAUGAUGGGCGCCGUUGAUGGUCCCGUUUCCGCCAUUAAUCACUCGCUCGCGCUAAUCCACGACCUUGAUCGAUCAGCCGCGUGCUUUUGCAAACAGUUUGGCCGGCUAGGUCGUCCGUACGUGUGGCACACCGCGAAACCACACACGGGUUCUGACCUUUUCCGUGAGGGCCAACAUGGUUUUGCUGACUUGGGUGGCGUUUGGCAUGCAUGCCAGGCGUGUUGCGACGUCACGUCACUCGCGACGCACUACUAAUUAACCGCUGUCACAUUCACAUCGCGGCAUUGGCACUGUUUUUUUCUUUUUUAAAACACAUGCACACUCAACACUUUUAUGAGCUCCUCCGAGACAGAUUCGAUAGAUCUUCGAGAUUGGCACUUCGUUAUUAAUGGGCACGUCGUUUUACUACUAAAAAGAAUAGCACAAGUUAAAUUUUAAAAUAAAUUCUGAAAGAUACGAGCUCCUAUCAACGAGCACGUCAUUUAUCGUUGAAAAGAAUAGACACAUCAACAUUUUACGUUUGUGGUUGAAUGGACAUAUCUUCCUUGUGUUCCUUUCCGUCUGCCGAUGCCGGUACGGGGUGAGAUCGAUGGCUCGAAAAGCGAGAAGGUUGGCACAUUGUUGAGCAUAGAGAAAAGGCCUUUUUUUUUCAAAAAAAAUUAUAGGAGAUAAGACUUGAAGCCUCCUUCCCUUCCUCUAAACAACACGAACUCCACCUGCCACAUGGCGAGAGUAAACUGAUUAACGACUCCUUGUUCUAAGUAAGCACCCUCCAUGGCGAAAGUAGUAGGUCUCUUCUCUCGUUCUAGAAUCACGAUCUCGUCAACCAUUCGCACGGCCGUCAGCCUUGAAACCCCCCCUGAAUUUUUCGUUCCCCCUCUUGCCAAGUAGUGCCCCAAGUUGCCUCGCAUCUCCACGCCACGGCGCUGCACGGUGGUCCCGCACGCACGCUCGGUGGGCGAACGGGCACGUACUGACGUAGGGUACGGUUGAAGGUCGCCGCCGCCGUGCUGCGCCCGAUCCGUACGACGCAGCUGCAGCGUGCUGCCGCGAUUCCAGCCGUUUCCGUACGCCCUCUCCUCCGUGCACAAUGAAUGAUGAGAGGUAGCGUUCCGGGCCCCCUUUCACGACGAUCUUUGGCAAAAAGAGAGAGAGAGAGAGGGAAGAAAAGAAAAUGAGCAUUGUUUUUAGAAAUAAACCCCUGGAACGAAUAAAGCGUAGCGUACGUGCCACGUCGCGUCCCCUUUCUCGCGAACGCUUCCGAGCGAUGUGCAACCGACCGAUGGAUACGCACACGCGCUGUCCCUCCGAUCGCGCCACGAACCUACCACCGGAAAGUCAGUAGCCGUCGUCUCGUUCUCGUCCGCCCGCGACGACGACGACGACGACGACGCAGGACGCGUGCUAGCUUUUCUCGCACGGUUGCGUUGCACCGUCAGGCGGCGGUGGCGCGUCGCUCUCCCCGCCGGCCUGCGACGUCCGGCGUCUUCCCCGCCGCUGCAGGAGCUCCGCAAGCAGCGACGACGACUCCCGGCGUGGUGCGCACGUACGUGGAGCCACUCAGGAGCAACGAUUUUAUUUUAAAUUACUCAUUUUUUGUAUGGAAAAAAAGGGUUCCAUUCCAGGCUCUAUGAUUCAUUAGCUGGUGGGGCUGCGGCGGCGGUUAACAUGUUAAGAUCGCGUCCCUGUUUGCUCCUUUCCUUUCUUUCUCCCUGGAAUGGAAGGGGAACGCGCAACCAUCAAGUGUUACGAGUCUGCGAGCCCUUUUGUCUUUAAUAAACAAGGGACCCCCAGCAAAUGGCAGCAUGUUCACACAUCAUAAAUGCAAAAUCUAAGCACAAAGUCUAAGAUUAUUAACGAACGGAAACGAAAGAUUAUGUCCUGUAUUACCAAUGUGUUUGUUUCUGACUGUGUUUAUUUUCUGACUGUGAUUGAAACGCAAGCGACGGCUGCUAGAUGGAUUUCGAAAAAGAGAGGGAGAGAAAAAAAAGAGAAAAAGAGAGGC